AAUUGGAUUGAGCUUAUUUAUAGUUAGCGCUGAAAACUAGCCGUUAUUGACUUUUUGCUCACUGUCGAAUCGCCGUUAACUAGAUGUCGGAUCGCCGUUUGACUGGUCAAUAUGACCGUUGGGCUAGAUUUUCAAAUUGUUAGAUCGUUGUUAUCUAGAUGUCGAAUCACCGUUAGUGGCCAGAGGCUACUCUUUAAUUCUGUUUGAUAUCGGCGAGCCGUUUAUCAAAAUUGUCGGAUCGCCGUUUAGGUCCAGAGGCUAAUCUUCAAUUCUAUUAGAUGUCGGCGAGCCGUUAUCAAUAUGUCGGAUCGCCGUUUUCUACAGUAACUGCUACAGUGACUGCUACAGUAAACUAUUUUGUAAAAUAACAGUUUGAUCCCAAAACUUUAUAUAAUUGUACCAUGACCCAAAACGUUAUACAUUUAGCAAAUAAAUCCAAUUUCAGAAUUUCUAAAUAAUGCUUAUUUUUCCUAAAAUUUUCUGAAAUUAUGAUAUAGCUCAAAUGCUAUGAAUACUUUUCAAAUAAAUACUUUUCAAGCAUUACUUGUUGAUUUCAAAGUUUUCAAAACUCUUUCAAUUAAACCAUAAACUUGAAAAACAAAUAAUUUCAUAAAAUCAUUUUUCCAUUAAAUAUAAAACCUUUAAAAUGUGAAAAUAAUGAUUUAUUUAAAAUGUAUAAAAAUAAUUUGAGCUUCUAAAAACUGAAUCAUUCUUAAUUUUGUUCGUUAUCAUCAAAAUCAACAUUAUGAAUACAUAAAUGUUAACAACAUCAUCACAUGACAUUUUAUUAGCAGUAAUGAUAGAAGCAAGAUCUAAAUAAUUAGGUCCCAAUCCAUUGAAGACUUGCAUUAAUAAAUCUCUCUCUAAUCAGGGCUACUAGCACAUGCAUGUUUGUCAGCAAGAAUCUUAACCUUCAAGAAAUAUUCUUGAACACACAUAGAUUCAUUUCUAAGCACAUUCAUCUCAUAUCAAAGCUGCAUUAUCUUAGCUUCAUAUUAAGCUCCAAACUAUUUUUUAAUAGAUUUUCAUACAUCAUAUGAAUUUCACAACUAAGAACUGAACUCAAAAUACCUUCAUUAACAGAGGACAAAAGCUAAUUGAGAAGAGUUUGAUCUUGAGCUCGCCAAUUGAUGUAAGCUGGAUUAUUAAUUUUCUGCAUCAAUCCAUCAACUGUUGUUUGUGAGAUAUAAUGUCUGGUAUAAUUUGAUCCUCGAUAUGAAAUCUUAAAGUCUAUUUUCUCUUAUUAAAGCAAGAACUUGUUUCUUCCAAAGCAAGAAAUUAGAUCAAUCAAGCUUAACUGGAGAGCUGAAUGAAAAGGAAAUCUAUGAAGUUUGAUUCAUGAAUAUUGAAUUUGGACUUUAUGUUGUUCUACUUGAACUAGCCAUGAUUAUGGCUUUGAUACAAAGAAAGAAAUCAACAUAAAGUUGUUUGGUUGCUGAGAAAAUAUCUCAAAACAUUCUAGAAUUCUUAUUACUGAGCUCAUUACAAAAUGUUCAAUUACAUUCAAUUUAUAUACUCUGCAGUACAAUAGUAACUAAUUCAUAACUAAGUAAAGUGAUUAACACGAGCUAAGUAUGCACACAGUGUUUGUAAUUGAUUUUAACAACUUAGGAUGAGCUAGUAGGUACGUUGUCACUUUGCUUACUAUCACAUGCUUGGUACACUUUCUCAGCUUAAGCUUCCCUUUCUUCUUCUAUGUACAAUGAGCUUCCUUAACAUACAAUAAAACAAACAAUUAUCAGGCAAUCAUUCUAUAAUCACACCAAAAUGACAAUUUUGCAGUCUUCAAAACUCUUUAAUUGAGCAUAUAUUUAAUUUUCUAAUUUAUCUACUUGUAAUGUCUAUAUAAGCUGAAUUGUUCAAUUAUUACUCAAGUGAAAUACAAAUUUCUUUUCUUAAUCGAACAUGGUAUAAAGGUCUUAUUUUCAAAAUAAUAUUUCCAUCAUCUUUGAUAUCAAAGAUUUCAUUUAACUCUCACAACUUUUAUCAUGUCGUUUACUAUUAAUUUAACCAUUAAAACUCUCCUUAUAUAGUUUUGCUUUUCCUGGAGGUUAGUUCCCCAUAUUCUAUCAUAAACACUUAUAAAAUAAAAAUAAAACUAAAGAUGACAAAAAUUCCCAAGGGAGUUGGUCCUCAAGGAUACUUCCCAUAUGGAGAGGAGAUGGAUAGAAGUUAAUACUUAAUUUCUUAUUUGGGAAGGAAUGAAGAUAAUGUAUGUAUAUAAAUAAAAUAACGAUCUUAAUAUUUAUAAAAUAAUAUAGAAAGAGAUAAUUUGAAGGGUAAGGCUAUUUGCACUUAAAAAUAUGCUUUUAAAGUAUGCUUUGAAUACUCAUGUUUUAAUUACAAAAUUAUUACAAAUAUUCCCCUAAUGAAAUUUACAAUUAAGAACAAUUAAAUGUAAGUGAAUAAAUAAUAUUAUUUGGAACACUUAGUUUACUAUACAUCCAUCUAACGCAAAAUCAUCUUUCUCUAAACCAAAAUUUCUUCCUCAAUAUGACUUUUAUGAAGGAUAAUUUUGGAAUUUACAAGAAUGCGUAUGGUAAAAAUUAUUUUUUUUAAAAAAAAAUGAAUGUAAUAAAAAGUGCUCAAAUUAUAUUUUCGAGUGCAGAUACCCUCACUCUAAUAUAAAAACUUAAUAAAGUUUGUCAAUGCAUCAAUUCCAUACAGAAAUAAAACUUUGUUUUGUUGUAAUAUUGACUAUAUUAACUUAGUUUGAUAUGAAUGUUUUAAUUUAAAAUAAUUUAUUUUGAUAAUUUUGUGUUGAUAAUAUAAUUUAUACUUUUAUUGUAAUAUGAUUAUAUCAAAUUCAGAAAAUAAAAUUGUCAGUUUUUUCUGAAAAUGGGUGCCCUCAAGAACCCGUCUCUCUUCCCCUCAAGUAAUUAUAAUGGGAUAGGAAGCGUACAGGGACUUAAGCAAAAUGUUGGGGACCGGUAUAGUCCCCUUUGCCAUCCUUAAAAAAAACUUGAAAUAGAAAUCAUUCUUUAUUUAUUUAUUUAAAUUGGAGGGGUGGAUAAAGUUCAAACAAGUUUUUUAAUAACCUAUCUUUUUUAGAAACUUAAUCGGGACGACCAGUCAAAUAAAACUGUUUGAGGACCACUCAACUAUGAAAUGAAAAUUAAAUUAAUAAACAAAUUAUGAUCUAUCGGAGAGGGAUGACGCUAACAUCAUCCAAAACAGGUCCGCACACAUGCCAAUAAUCAUGCAGCCUGGUGUGAUAAUAUGCACUAUAAAAAGUAAUCCUUGUCCUGGAAGAUAUAGCCUGGAAUAUGAGACUUGCUUUCUUGAAUCCUCCUUUUCCAACAGAAUCAUAAGGAGCUUUUACGGUUUCAUUGGCAGCGAAUGCUACGAUAACCAUCGAGCCAUGGCAAGCGUUCUUGGCGUCUCCAAUGGUGAAUGUAAGCUUGUAAAACUUGUUAGGAAUUGUUCGGAUGAUUUGUGCAAUGGCACUUUCUCUUCCUGCAACAAUCUCAAUGGCUGAGAAUCCUGAGGGGACAAAGAAGUGCUUCUUGUCAAUGUAUUUUACGGGCUUCAGGGAUUCGAUGAUCCAUCCUGGGAGUGGUGAAAUUAGAUCUUGUAACUUAGGAGGCAGGAGGACACCAGUUGAGAAGUUCUUGAAUGUGUGAGGUCCAAUUUCAAAGCCUCCGUUUUUCACUUGGUUACCUGCGCAUGCAUAUGGACACAGAUAUUUUAGUAUACAUGAAUUUGCUACACACACACACAUAUAAAAUUUAAUUAUAGCACAAAAAAAAAAAAUCCACACACAUAUAAAAUUUAAUUAUAGCACGACACAGAUAUUUUAGUAUACAUGAAUUUGCUACACACACACACAUAUAAAAUUUAAUUAUAGCACAAAAAAAAAAAAUCAACAUAUCUUUACCGUAUUCUUAUAUUUUAAGACAUUGAUUAUUUUGAAAAAUCCUCUAUCUUAAGUUUUUAUUUUUAGCAAAUACUGAUUGGUUAUACUAAAAAGAAAAAAGAAAAUAAUAAUUAAAUUAACACGAGCAUUCAUAGGUUUUAAUGUAUAAUUUGCAUUAAGAUGUUGAAGAGUGUUUAGAUCCGGAGAUGACCAUUGUCUAAUAAUAAAGGAACACAAAAUAUAUGUUUAAGAUUAGGUAAUAUUAUUCUUUAAACUAAACCAAUGAGCAUGUAACAGAAGAUUUUUAAAAAAUUAGAGAACUAAUAGAAAAAUCAUGUAUCCUUAAGUAAAAUUACAUUAAAUACAAUUUGGCGGUUGGUUAUAGUUACUUAAAAAAGAAAAAAUAAUUGAAUAAAACAUAAACAUACAUAAAUUUUAACGUAUAUAACGCACAUUAAAAUGCUAAGGAAAGUUUAAAUCGGGAGAGUAUCAUUAUUACCCAAUGAAUUAAUAAAGGACCAAGAAAUAUAAGAAUAAUCAAAAUCAUACUUUGCACUAAGACCAAUAUACACGUGACACAAAAUUUUUAGAAGUAGCCAAUGAGCGAUCCUAAUUCAUAAAGAAACUCACCUUUGGUAUAUUUUAGAGGCAGCAUCUCUUUGAUGGCAACAGCGUCCAAGAGAGGCCCACAAGUGGGAUCCUCCUGAAUACCUGGAUUAUGAAACAUCACCUUGACAACAUCAGAAGUUGCCUUGAAAGCCCAUGCAUAAGUGUCACCUCCACUGCUACUAUAUAGUGUCUGAAUUGGAAGGUCACUCGACUGACCAGGAACCGAGACUCUAAGCAUUUCAUCCUGAGCACAAGUCCUAGUGGUUCCAAAAGUGAGGGAGUAGAUUGAGCCUCGCUUCACCCUCACAUUCUGAGAAAUGGAAGCCUCAUUGCCUAGCCUCACUGCAUGAACACCGCGAGGGACAGCAAAAUAGAAGCCGCCGGGCUGCGGCCCGCCUGAGAUGUACUCCACCAAACCGCUGAUUUCCCAUUUGGGAAGUGAAUACUUUCCGAUUAUCACUGUUUUAUUGAGGUUUGAUUUUUUCGGUGAGAGUUCAAAGUUUCCAUUUGGCAGAAGUGCUGCAGAUAAAAAUAAACAUUAGACCAAAAUUUUAUGUACAUCAGAGACAUAUCUUCGGUGGAAUAAUAAGUCACUGAUAUUAUGUGUGUUUUUUUUUUAAAUUAAGAUUCUACCACAUAAAUAAUGGAUAUUUCUUUCUUGAAUUAGAAGAACAACAUUAAUCUGACUAAAAUGGCUAAAAUUGCAUGGCAAGACACAUCGAGCGCUCGAACAAUUAAAAAAACUCAGUAUAAGAUUAUUGAAUUCCCAUUAACUUAACUUAUAUUAAAAAGUUAGCUUAAUAGUUGAGGGUUACCCCACACUUAAAUAGUUAGCUAAAUAACUAUUUUCAGCUGAUGUAACAUAAUAUCCUCAAAGUAAGAGAGGGAGCCAAAUAAGCAACCCAUCCGGCUGUUUUUUAUUUUAGUUUUUCAAUAAUGGUACACAUGUCAUAUUAUUUUUACUUCCAUGUACAACGGUAGCUUAAUUAGCAAAUUAAAACAUAAUCAAAUUUGUUACAGGGUUUUUUAUGUGCUACAAAAUGAAAAUAAACAAGCAAAAAGUAAGGAUCCGACAAAUGCUUACUGUCAAGAUAUCGAGGAGGAUGAAUAACUCGAGUGGUAGCAGAGCCACCAUUGCUUAGAGCUGAGAAAACGAGUGCAAAGCAAAGAGAGUGAAACCAAGCCAUUUUUUCUAUGAUGAAGAAGCAAGUAGACUGAAUAGGAUACUUAUAGAAUGAGUUAGUUCAACAAGAUCAGUACGCAAAUAAUGAUUUUUAUAUUGAAUUUGAAGACAAAAGCAAAGAAAGAAAAAGAAGAAAAAGAAAACCACGUUAUAGGGCCACCGAAUUAGCCGCGAGAAGUGUCCCUUUGUCCAAGCAUUUCCCAAAUCUCAAGUCUUGUAUUUUCACACAAAUUUCUUCAUUAAUGCGUUGGAGCCCGGCCCACAUGAAGUUUCAUUACUGGUUGCCGUGAUUUGCUGCUACUUUGAAUUCUAUCAACUAAUAUUUUGAAGUACAUAUAAAGUACAGAUUCUAUUUCAAUACAGAGGCACAUGCUGCCAAUAAUAGCAGUACAAUACUUUACAAUCUUUCGCAUUAACAGAUAAUAUAUUUAAUCAUUCUCAUAAUCAAUCCAACAAGUACAAGUUCGUCCAGAAGGUUGACCUUGAUUGAUAGGGCAUGUGAUCUGCUAAAUCAUAUGAAGUUUUCUUGAUAUUGAAUUAUCAUGGAAAUGGUACAUGGUUUAUUGGAGAUGGUGGAAAUACUUACAUUGAAAUUGAUGAGGAGACGUAAAAGAGGCUAUAUUAUUAAUGUAAUUUAUAGGUCUUCAACAGAUUAGAUCGACUUCAUUUAGUGUUUGCAUUUAAAGUAACAGACAAUGAAAUUAAUGAUUAGAAAUUUAAUAUGAUUGUAAAUGGCAGCCAAUCCACAGAUUUAGAGUGAUUUUACAUGUUCUUGUUCAUUCUUUAUUUUGAGUACAUAAAGCCUUCGAGAAAUGCUGGAGUGUAGACUGCGGCACAUUUUUCCUUUAUUGUUAUAAUCUACAGAAAUUUAUUGGGAUUUCAAGUUUUAUUUAAGAUUGGCUAAAAAAUAUACUGCCGCUAACAACAUUUGAAGACAAAUAUACCUUCAUUUUGAGAGAAUGAGAUAUGAGCCAUCCGACCUGACUGUGACACUUAAAUAAAUAAUUAUGUAGAAGUGAAAUAAUAAAAUGAUUAGCAAUUUUUUUUGUGAACAGAUUAUAUAUAGGCAUACAAUUUUUUUUUUUCCUACCACUUCAUAAUUUCUUGUUAAAUGCUGCAAUUUUGAACUUCGUCGAUGGGAAGAGAGCAAUUACAGAGGCCUCAAAUGAUAAUUCCACCCUGAGUCAUGCUACCAGAUCAAUCCCUUGCAUUUGGCUUCCAAGAAUGCUCUCUAUUUAUAUAGGAAAAGAAACCUGGCAGUUGUCAUGAUUUUACGAGACCAAAUCCGGUGAAAUGGCCCACAAUUUGAGUUGUAUAAUCUUGGCAAUUGAAUGUGAAUCCUCCGAUUUGUAAGCUUGCUAAAAACGUGGCAAUUGAAAAUUGGUCUAUUUUAACACUCAUUAAUUAAAUGGCCAUGUGAAAAUGUCGAGCAAUUUUGUUGGUGCUUGGCUAGAAUGAGCUUGGGGAAUCGUUGGUCGCCUGUUGUUUCGAUAAGCCACAAAAGAUUUUCCACUUUUAUCAUUAUUCAAUCCAAUAAUUGAACAGCUUCAAACAAAAUAAAACUCAUGGUGACUGUUCUGUAGUAUGCUAACAAUUGCUUAGUACCUUUUUUUUUUAAAAAAAAUGAGGUGAUUUCAAAAUCUCAACAAAAAAGGCUUGAAAAAGGUUUUUCACGUCAAGUUACAAUCCUUUACUCGAGAUCGAGUAAAUUCACGAAGUUUUAUUGAUGUUCUCUCUUAAAUUUUUAUGAAUAUAUUCCUUCGUAAUUUUGAAAAUUCUUCUCUCAAGAUGGAAAUGAUAUUUUAAAAUUUAGAUUCAGUUAGUAUGAUUGUUCGGAUAUUUUCUUCUUAAUUACUGGUCUUUUUCUUUUUCAAAUGCUAUAUAUAAAUGUUUCUUUUAAUGGUUAAUGCUCACAAUGUUCCCUAGGCUGUAUUUAGGUUCCUUUCACUAUAUAUUUCAAUAAAUCUCCAAGCUCACGAAAGCUUAAAAAAAAUCAGCUGAGAGAAUCUUUGAGGUUUGUAUUCCUUUUCUUUCUUUCGUUCAUUCUUUCCUUUUUAUUCGUUGUGCUUUCAUAUUUCAAUGUUAGGCUGGAUUCAAGAAUGACGGAAGAGCCCAACCCGUCUCUUGGCCCAAUUUAUCCAACCCUUAGUUUAAAGGGGUAGGGUUUUUUAAGGACUGGGGCCCUCCGACCCAUUGCCAAGCCUCAGCGAGAAAGUUAACAAUGAAAAUAAAUUCAGCGAUCUUGCCAUCAUUCGUUUGGAUGUUAGUUCAAGAUUAUAACGAACAACAAUAACAACAAAUAUGAGGACUGAUAUUCUUAAUAAGACCAUCAAAAUAUCUCAAUCAACAGGAAUAGUGAGCAUUUCCUUGUAAAAUAGAAAGAAAGCUAUGACAGCGCGCGAAACAAGAAUUGAACGAAAAAUAAAAUAGAACAAAGCAAGAGUUAGUGAAAACAACAAUUCGGAAAGUCCUAAAUAUCUGAAGGCGGAGAGCCCCACAAAACAAAAUCAUGUUAUAUUUGUACGUUCGCAAACCGUCUUAUUAGGAAUAUUCUUGAUUAAUGUUUCUUUACGUGGGUUUCAAUUAUCUUAGUUUAUGGUUUAUAAAAAAGGGGUAGUUAACAAUAUUCUUAACUACCGAGUACUGAUCAUGAUAAGUUGCUUGUGAAUAGAAUCGUAUUUGAUGAGUUUUAUAGGCUAUGUCUGCGGUGCACGGUUUCAUUAUAUGAUUUUGCUAUUACCGAAAAAAUAUAAUGUCACUAGAUAUCAAAUGAUAUCUAUUAUCUAUGUAAGAAGUCAAUUUGAUAUAUGAUAAAUAUAUCAAUGAUUUAUCUUACAAUAUAUUCAGAAUCAGUUCAUUUACACAAAUUGUCAAAAUGGAAUUUUGCUAUAAAAGUAAUGCUUAAAUCGUAAACGAAUGAUCAAUCAGAGUAUAUGAUUAAUUAGCGCAUGCAUAAUUUGUGUAUUGUUCAUUGAGAGCUCAUUUUAUGCGACAAUAUAUUUGAUGUUUCUACAAUGAGUAGUGUAUAUAUAAAGCUAACUCGCUUCGUUGAGAUCAUUCAAAAAAAUUAAAAAUUAAAAUAUUAAAAAGUGUAUAUAUAAAGCAGUAGCUGGGUAUUGUUGUGGAUUAGGAUGAGACCACAUAGAUUAUAAAUGAACGGCAUAUUUUCAUUAUAGCCUUAAUUAAGUUCUCUUUCAUUUUUUUUUUCUAAUUAACAAAAUAUCAUUUAAACUUAUAAAAUAUUUGAGGAAAUUAAAGUUAUAUUGUUUUAGAAGUUUGUGUGUGUGGUUCAUGCCAAAAGCUUCCAAGCGUAAAUAAAUAUGAAGGCAAUCAAUUUGUGCCGCAGUGUUUAAAGAUAGUCAAGGUUACUUUUGAAUAGACAUUUCAGCCAACGUCAGAUUUCAUGAUGCCUAUCUACUACAAGAAGACGAUGGAAUCACUGAUGCCUUAAAAGUGAUUCGACGACUGCCUAAAGUGAUUCGACGACUGCCUUGUGGCGCUUAAGUAACGAACUCUCUUAAUCUUUCAACAGAAUUGAAAAAUAAGUACCUGGAUUUGAAGACCAACAUGAAUUGGAGCCAUGCAUGAGAUCAUUCAAUUCACAAAUUUUUAGAGAAGAGAAUGUUGCGCAAGAUUUAACGACUAAUAUGAAUUUGUGUUGUUCUAAUUUGACAUGAUGGAAUUGCGAAGAUCUUGAAAAAUUGAAUAACACUUUAUGAUAAUUUAUAAAUUAACCGUAAUACACAUUUAGAUUGAGAUAUUCUUUUGCAAUAAAGUAAGGAAGAGCUGCAUUCCAGACGUUAAUCUUAGCUGCCUAUACCACCACUGCUCGACAACACGAAUGUUUAUGUUAUAAAACAUGUGUAUAAAAUUAUUUAAUUAGUGAUUAAUUAUCUUAUAUAUUAGAUAAAACAAAGUGUACAUACUCUUAAGAAAGUUUGUACAAUAUAAGUCAUCACUUUAUAUUAUUUAGCAUAAUAACUUACCAAAGUUUAGUAAAAGGUUAAAAGUAUUACGGUUAAGACAUACUAAAAAAAAAAAAAAAAAAUGAAUAUGCUAAUAUAAUUAAUCUAAAGUAAAAGUAAAGUGUUUACUUGUUUAUGUCUAAAGUCUUAAUUUAGCUUGAUUUAAGAGGUUUUGAUAUUUUGGCUUGUUUGGUCUUGUAUCUCAAGUUUUAUUAUAAGAUAUUUUCAUUUGAAUAGAAAAAAUAAAAUUUCUUAAUUUUUAUCUGAAUGAUAAAAUGUCUCAAUAAAAAAUCAAAUUUUCUCACAAGUACUCUCAUUAAAUGAAUUUAUUUUUUACCUAACUAUUAUGUAAAACCUAAAAAUCCUUUGGUUUUUUUAAUCGAAAUGAUUUUUUUUAAUUAAUAACAUAAUUUAGAUGUCAUAUUAGAAUUUCUCUUGACCUCUACUUUUACUUAGUAUUAAAAUUUCUCUUGACCUCAACUUUUACUUGGUAUUAAUUACUUACAUUCAACCUGUGCAAAUUCUUUUAUUAUUUGAUAACAAUUGUUUUUAAUGUAUAAAUUUUAUGUUAAAUUGUGAAAAAAUAAUGUUAUCAAAAUUAUUUUUCUUAAAAUUUAUAUCAAAUGUUUACCUUAUAAAUAUUUAUAACAUAUAAAUAGCAUUGUACUAGAUAACACGAUAAAUAUAUACCUAUUUAAAUUAACUUCCGAGUAUGUAUAACACUUUCAAGGUUAUAAGUAUAAAAAUACCAGAUUUAAGAUGUUGAAAACUUACCAUUUACACUUGGACAUCAAAAAAUAAAAAAACAAACAUAUUAUCCAGAUAUAUACCUUCAGACCCAUUCAAAUUUUAAAUAAAAAAAUAAAUGCUACCUAAAAUUACCUAAAUCACGAAUAUAUAGUCAAAAUAAUUAUUUUCGAUUUUUUAUUUUUUUAAAUAUAGAGUGGUGGGGCAUUUGAAUUUAUAAAAUAUAAAUGACAUGUUCAACAGCCACAAAUUUAAACAGAAUUUUUGCCUUCAAAUCAGACAAGGAUGAAGGGUGAAGAUUAGAUAAAACGAACAAUUAAUUAAUUUAAUUUCAUUAAUAAUUUUUUCUCUAAUUUAAUGUUUAUCUUUACUCUCUCUGUUCUUCCCAUUGAUAACUUGAUAUGUUCUUCUUCUUUAAUAAUAUUAUUUCUCUCUCCAAAAUUUUAACUUGAACGAUUAGUUAAAUAAACCUACUUAAAAAUUACAUUCGAACUUGCAGUAUUAUAUGCUUUUUUGUGAUAAUAAUUUGAUAAUUUUGACGACAAUUAGUUUGAAGUCAACUGUCAGACGAACUAAAGCCUCUCUCUUCACUGCGUUUAUCAAAUGUUUCGCAUGCGUGCAGUAUCCAUCACCAACGACCCAGAUAUUAGUGUUGUAUAAAAGAUUCUCUUACAACCAAAUAUUAUUCAGUUUAUAGGGUAAUAAAUAACUAAUAACGUCGUUUUGGUCAAACUAAGUCAAUAACUAACUCUCUUUAGCGUAAAGGCUGUUAAUUCCUAAUAUCAAAAAAACAUAAGGGAGGUAUGUGAAAUUUGUCACAUAUUUAUUGAGGAAGCAAAUAUCCGCGACCUCACUGUGGCGUGGGAAACAAUCCAGCUCGUGGAAUCUACGUUCUGCAGCCACAGCCUGUGACAGCCACAACACGAUAGCACAGGAGACUCGAGCAAAAAGUCUUGGCCUUGGUCAUUUCACUUGUGGAUCCCUAUAAAGCCAAAACGAUUGUUUCUCUCUUCUGCAAGAGACUGAAAAAAUGGCUGUCGGUAAGGAUGAUGUAGAGAUUAUAAAGCCACGUACGGACAAGAGACAAUACCGGAGACUCGUCCUUAAAAACUCUCUUCAAGUCCUUUUGAUCAGCGAUCCUGAUGCCGAUAAGGUAAUCAACAAGACCCAAAUUUUUAAAAUUUUAUUUUUCAGUUUAAUUUAGCUAGUAAUCGUGUGGGUUUACUUUGGUUUAUUUUAUUGUUUUACCUUCAGUGUGCUGCUUCAAUGAAUGUCAGCGUUGGCGCCUUUUGUGACCCUGUUGGUCUCGAGGGCCUUGCCCAUUUUCUCGGUAUGUUUAAUGUAUCCUGUGGCAAAUUUGAAUUCGUGAUUUGGGGAAUUUUAGUCUUGUAUGAAUGUGUAUGAAUGUAAAUUGUAAAAGUUACUUCAAAAAAAAAAAAGGGGAUGGGUUUGUGUGAGAUGACUCUAAACGUGUUUUCGGAUGAUCACAGAUUAAAAUACAAUGUGUUGCUCAUAUUGAAAUUAGAGUAGAAAGAGUUAAACAGAAUUAGAAGUUUCACUUGUACUUUCUUUUUGGUUCAAGUAUUUCUUCAUUGUAUGUUUAGGCUUGUUUAUUUCCUGUUAAAGUUAUAGCAUUGUUUCGUUCUCGGUUCUUUCAUCUCUUCCUACUUUGCCUACUUUCUUUUCCCUUUUCACUGUUUGUUAUUAUCAUUGAUAUUUUUUUUUUUAAAUUCUGUUGUGUGGUGAUUUAUUGGAUGAUUCUUCUACUCUCCUAUUAUACAUUAUUAUCACUUUUAGCUGUGCUUGGAUAUUUAUAUGGCUGCAGGCGACAAUUUCUGUGGCCUUUUUAAUGAGUUCGAGUAUUUAUAACUUGCUUUAGUUACUGUUUUCCUGUUUCUUUAAUGUGCAGAGCAUAUGCUGUUUUAUGCUAGUGAGAAAUAUCCAGUGGAGGAUAGCUAUUUAAAGUACAUAUCAGAGGUAUUGACCCUCAAUAAUGUCCUGUUUCACUUAUUUCUAGUAUGUUUUCUUAAGUAAAAGUUUCAGAGAAUCAUGCUUUAUGCUUAAUCUUGCUCUUUGAUACUAAUAAUAGACUUUAACUAGAAGCAGAGGGAGUUGGCGAGCUACACAGACAAGGAAAAAAAUUUUGAAUGCUAUUCCCUUGGAAUAUAACUGACUAAAAAGACACAUUUUCCCUCCGGAGGAAAAUCUUAACUUUUUUGUUAAUCAGGUGUUUGUAAAAACAAAAUCGUGAAGCAAAUUCUUCACUUGAUUUGUAGGGCUGAUGGGAGUUUUAGUUUUAAUUACAUUUCUCUAUUUUCCUGCAAGCCAUUGCAGUCACAUUGUAUCUUAGUGAUUGGAUGUGGAAAAGGUAUUCUUGUUUAAAUUUUCAGCUAUAGAUUGUUCUAUUGUGGACUGGGGUGAUGACUCCAUUUAUGUUCUUUUCUCUGUGGAGCUGACCCAUAACCGGAUUGGAUUUAGAUGUAGUCAGUUUAUUCAACAAGGGUUUAGAAAGUUCACUGGUAUGGUGGUCUAUCAAUUUCUUGUGAUAUGAUUUGAUAAUGUUUGGUAAUGUUGUCGAAAAAAAAUACUUUAAUUGUCAAUAUGUAUCCUUAUCGUUCUAAGUGAUGCUGUGGACUUUCCAUGCAUUGACUGAUGUAUGCUGGAGUGAAAAAUUAUGAAUUAUAUUGUGAACAUGAUCCUCUCAAGCUGUCUUUUGAUACUUGAGACAACUUGUGCCAGAAAUUUCUUUUUUACUUUAGAUUUUAUGUCUUUAGGUUACUGAUCUUGCAUAGUGUCAGGGUGACGAUUUAGAUAAUAUUGGAGCAGCAACUGUGAAUAAUGACCACAGUCUUACUGCGGGUUGUUGAAUCACAUCCUAAGACUAGUUGUGAUUCCACAUCCUAUCUUUGCUUAUGUCUUCUAGUAGAGUCAUUGGGUGGUGGUUUGGUAUUGUUUAUGGUUAAUGUUGAUCUUAAAUACAGUUUGAGACAUGUGAAGAGGAAUCUGGAGUCUGAAAUUUGUUUUUAUUUUUAAGUUUGAUAUAUAAUUUAUUGGGGCAGCAACUCUAGAGACCUUGUAGGAAAGAUGGUUUGUGGAUUGUGGGUGAUUAUUAUGGCACUGCAAUCUUCUUUACGGAAGUUUUGCUUCCCUGUCUUGAGCUUUAUUUGCAUUAUUUAUAGAAAUCUGGUUCGCUCCAGAGAUUGAUCAUUUCCUUUUUAAUUUGGCCCCCUGCGUAUGGGUGGUAUCACUGGUAUGUUCCUUGAUGUGUCUGUUUGGAGAGUGCACUUUUUGUUCUCUUUUAAGGAUUAUCUUGGGAAUUCUUUUGGGGUAGAAACUAGGGUGUCAUUACACACCUGAGCACAUACAUUUUAGGUUGUGUGGUCAAGUGAUAAAUACAAACUGGUCUCUGCUUUAUUUCUUGAUUAAUCCCUGUAAGUACGACGAGCAAGGUGUUGUUCUAAUUUUCACCGCAUUUUCUUACGCACAGCAUGGAGGAAUGGCAAAUGCGUUUACAUCUUCUGAGCAUACAAACUACUACUUUGAUGUAAACCCUGACUCCUUUGAAGAAGCUUUGGACAGGUACAUGCCAUUUUUCAUUUUUCUUAAGUAUCAUAUCUUUCAGUACUUGAGUUUUUGAGUCUGAGUCUUUCCUGUGAUUUACUGCACAGAUUUGCACAGUUCUUUAUUAAACCGUUGAUGUCAGCUGAUGCUACGAUGAGGGAGAUUAAAGCAGUUGAUUCUGGUUAGUUGUUCAUUGUAGAGUCUAGCGCAUUAAUGUACUUUCCGAAUCAUGUUUCAUUAUCAUUAAUUCAGUUCCGCUUUCCUUCCUCCUCCCUCGCUUGUAUCCAGAGAACCAGAAAAACUUGUUGUCUGAUGUUUGGAGAUUAAACCAGGUAUUGCUUACUUCCAUUAAUUUAAUAUUUGGAGAUGAUUUUUCCUUGGGUUUCUAUUUUCUAAGUUAUAUCAUUAUAUCAUUUGUUAUCAUUCACAAGAGACCUUGGACCCCAUUGCUGAGCCUGAGUAUCAGUUUUGAAGUGAAAGUUUUCCUUCAUAAAGCUUUAUUUUAUUGCUGCAACUCGUGUUUUUUUUUUUUUUUCCUUUUUUCUGGUUGGUAUCCUAUGUUCUUUGGUAUAAGAAGUGGCUCCAUUGAACUAAAAAAACUUGAACAUGCACAGACAUCUGACCUUUGGCCAUUAUUUGAAUAGAUUGAGAUAUAAUAUUUGCUAAAAUUGAUAUUCCUUUGUUGAACUCUUAACACAAUAAAAUUUGGUAAGAAGAAAAUAAAUUAUUAUAAGUUGGUGUUUUAUGGCACAAGGGUAUUGGGGAUUGUGUAGGUCUUGUUCUCUUACAAUGCCUUUUGAUUGGUGUUCUAUGGAAUAUGGUCUAUCAUUCUUCAUAGCUUAGUGUUUUAGGUUCACGACAAUUUUAGCAGUGCUGAUUAGUUGGAAAAUGGAUGAGUGGUAAUGGACUUAGCUUGAUUUGGGGUCUUUAUGUUGUACUCGUCUGCCAAAAAAUCAUUUUCACUCGUCCUAUUAUGGAAUUUUAAGAGAGCUUAAGCACUAGGCUUUAGUUUGGUUCUGUUUUGGUGUUUCUUAUAUAUUUCCCUUGUACCACGGUUGCUCCACAAUUUUGGUACUGCUUGUGUAAUAAAUUUGUUACGUAUAAAUAGAAAAAGAAUAGGGCUUUUGAUAAUUGGCCUGUAAAGUGCUUAUUGAUUGUUAGGUGCCGAUAUUAUGGUACAAAGGGUGGCUUAAGAGUUGAAAUUAUGUGUAGAAUUUUGAAUUUUGAAAGGAUAUUGGUCAGGGUAGCAUUUGAGGCCAAAAUAUCAGGUUAAGAUAGUGUUGCAUGAGCUACUUUUACUUGGAUGGGAACAGUAAUCCAAGAAAGAUGAAUAAAUAGAUGUAUUCAUCACAUGUAAUGUAUGGUGCCUCAGCAUCAAUUUUUUCCCAUACACUUAUAUCACACGAUUCUAAGGAGUGCAACUGAUCUUCAUUUAAAAGCGUUUGGCUGGAAUGUAUGAGACUUGCCAGUUUUCCUGAAGUCGCCAAAGGGUUGAAAUUCUAAAUAGGAAACUGCAAAUACUAAUGAUGUGGCCCCAAAAUAAAAAAAUAAUUAAUUAAUUUAAAAAAAAAAGAAAAAACCACAGAGGACCUCAUGCAAAAGCCAAUCAGGACAGUUAUAAUAGAGAAGGACUGAUGUUCUGUUGUGAGGCCUAUUCAAUCAAACCUAGAUAUUAACUCCUAAAAUAUAAGCAAGCUAAAAUAAUGCCAAGUGAUUGGAUUUCUGUUGUUAAGCUUAACAUUGAAAUAAGGCUAAAUGGGAAUUAUUGCCAAGUAUCAAAUUUAUAUAUAGGUCCCACAUAAUUUUAGAUCAAAUUUUGUAGAAUUCGUUUAUUUUCGAAGGCCUGUUUUACAACCUUUGAAACUUCCUUGGAGAAGAAAAGAUUCCAUCUAGAUCUUUGCAUUGGUACCAAGAGAUUUUACUAAGCAAGUAUCUUGUUUUUGUUGUUGUUGUUCUUUUUCCCCCUUUUUAAUGAGAAAUAAGAAAGUAAUUUAUCUUCAUUGAUGUUGUCAUCAUUAUUGCUUUUAACAAUUAGCAUCAUCAUCAAUCGACCUAAAAGUUUAUGCUAAUAGAUUAGUCAACUAUAGCCUUAACAGGCCAUCUGGAUUUUAUCAACUAUAGUAUUAACAGACCCUCUGAAUUUUAUUAACAGCCUUGUCAUGUGGAUCAAGCUAAAAUAGAAACUAACUUAGAUGCAGAUGAUAAUGCAAAUGCAAAUACAAAUCUGAAUGCAAUUAUAUGGGAGGUUUCAAAUAUAAGACCUCUUGGUCAAAUUAAUGUUCAUAUCAUAUUAAUUUUUUGUUUGGCUUAAAAGCAUAAAUUAUAAAGCUGGUCCUGACGAUUGUAUUUGAGUUCCAGCAAGUUAAUUAUGAUUAAGUUGUUAUAUCUUUUGACCAUAGUAGUAGUUUUGGUAGUGUUUCUGUGAGAAAUGACUACCUUUAUGUUUUUUUUUUUUUUUAAAUUUGUACAGCUGCGGAAACAUCUAAGUUCAGAAGAUCAUCCAUAUCAUAAGUUUAGCACUGGUCAGCAACUUACUUGAUUCUCUCUCCGUUCUUUAUUAUAAAGUGUUACAUUCUGUUAUACUUUUUCAUUUAUCAUUUUCUUCAUUUUAGUAAUUUUUCAGAGUUUUAUGAAAAAAUGAUUGUAUUUCCAAGUUGUUCUGUCGAUGUCUACAAUUCAUUGUGUUCACGAUUUUUUUCCUUUCACCUUUUCACCCUAGUUUCUGCAUAUUGUGUUUCAAUGAGAUAGAUGUUUAUAUCAAGUACUUGUUGAUGUUUAGGUAACUGGGAAACUUUGGAAGUUCGACCAAAAAGGGCAUACAAGAGGAAAUGUUUCUCUCGAACUCACUACGAGGAUUUAUGGAGCUCUUAUAAUGAGUGCCAAGAAAUUGUUGAGGAGGAAUGGUCCAAGCAUGGUAAGUGGGAGGGGACUGAUGUAGUUAAGCUCUUUAAGCAUGUCAGCACAGCUUCGCUUGCAAAACUCAUACACUAGAGCAAAAGGGCUUUUGAAGGCAAUAAAAAGAAGCUUGAAAAGCUGGUCAACAGAAUCAAGGACCUUCAGCAGCACAAAUGGAGGUAUGAAAGUAAUGAAGAAUUAAGAAGUAUUGAAAGACAGAUCCACCAUCUCCUGCUGGAUGAAGAGAUUUAUUGGAAGCAGAGGUCCAUGGUGGAUUAGCUUAGAGAGGGAGAUAAAAACACAAAAUUUUUUCAUCUCAAAGCCUCUGCUGUACGGCCAAGGCGGAUGUACGGUACAGCAGUAAUGAACAUUACUCUUCCAACCUCAUGCAUCUGGUUGUGUAUUCAAAAGGUUAGGAACUAAUUCUUCCUGCUGUAUUUUGGCCUUGACUGAAGUACUCUGAGAUAUAAUGACCAACCCUAUGUGAUGGAUGUUUCUAGAAAGUGUUGAUAAAAUUCAAGGUCUAGUGGAGAAUAAGUUUCAGGACAUUAGGAACACUGAUCGAAAUCUUUUCCGUUUUCCUGGUCAGCCUUGCACAUCAGAACAUUUACAGGUAUGCACAAGUUCUAUGUGGUGACAAAGGGUCUCAAGUGACACUGCAGAAAGUAGGAAAGAAUUUUUUCCUUUUUUUUCAAAUUUUCCUAGUUUAUAUUUUUUGCUUCAGAUUCUUGCCAGGGCUGUUCCAAUUAAACAAGGUCACAAACUAAGAAUUGGAUGGCCAAUAACUCCAAGCGUUCAUCACUACAAGGAAGCACCAGGCAGAUAUAUCAGUCAUCUUAUUGGGCAUGAGUCAGAGGGAUCAUUGUUUUACAUCUUGAAAACAUUGGGUAGGUUCUGCUUAUCCCUUAUAUUUCUGAUUCUCAAUGUACUUGCAGCUUUCGGUUGCAUCCUGAAACUUUUUUGAUUUGAGAACUUAACCAAGUUUUAGUGUCCAUAAUUUGUGUUCCUACAUCCUUAGGCUUGAGAUGCUUCUUCUUCUUUACAAGUUCAGAAUGAAUUGUUUUUGUUAAUUUGAAUAGUAAAAUACAUAAAACAAUGAUAUUUUGAAUUUUUUUAAGAUGUUAGCAGACAAAUGAUUCUGUUUAGAUUUUCACUACAAUGUAUUUCUCAUUGUCCCCCCCCCCCCNNNNNNNNNNNNNNNNNNNNNNNNNNNNNNNNNNNNNNNNNNNNNNNNNNNNNNNNNNNNNNNNNNNNNNNNNNNNNNNNNNNNNNNNNNCUGCCCCCCCCCCCCGAGUAUUCAAUGCCUACCCUGUCAUAUUUCCAUAGUGUGGAUGUUAGAAACAAUUUACAAAGCUACUGCAUGUUAUGGUUUCUUGAGGGACUGAUUUUCCUCUAGAAUUUUAAGAAUCACUGCUUGAUGCAAACAGCUUAGUGGGGAUAAAGCACUCUCUGAUCCUCAUUUCAUGGCUGGAUUGUUGAUGACUUUGGUUAACGUCCACUGAAAUCUGUACAAUUUGUCUUGUACUAAUUUGUGUUGAUUAUCAUAUAUUUAAUUGUUUAUUUAUUUUAGUAUUUGUUCAUUGAUAUUGCUUAAAGGUAAAGUAUGGCAGUGCACUUUCUUUAAUUUUGAUGUUAGCAUAUCCGGUUGUUGCCUAUGAUCUUCCAAGAAUGCAGUGGUAUUUUGAUGAGAGCAAUUUUUCAUGCUUAAGGGAAAAUUUUAUUUGCGUGAUUAGGAAUUGAGCUACUGAUGAAUAUCUUUGGAAUGAUUCAUUGAUAAAUAAUGUGAUUGUAAAAUGAUGGCAACCAUUUCACAAGUUUCAGGGUGGGAAGAAGUCUUGAUAUAAGCACAUGUAUGUUCUGGUUGAUAAUGUCUGUGUUUGUUUUGUGUGUAAAGAUCAAAGUGCAAUUUGAUGACACUAGCUCAGGGUCUUUGGUUAUCGACACCAAAAAUUUUCACCUUUGAAAGGCCAACUGACCAGUCACCUCUUUUUGAAAUAAUUUUUUGCAGGAUGGGCUACAUCAUUGGCUGCAGGUGAAGGAGAUUGGACUUUGGACUAUUCAUUCUUUGAAGUUACAGUUGAUCUUACUGAUUCUGGUCAUGGUAAUUCAUUUGUAUCUCACACUGCAUUUAAUUGAAUGUGAUUCAUUAUAAUCAAUUGAUUUACUUUGUUUUGCUAGAAUAUGCAAAUAACUUCAAUUUGUAGAUCUUUUGGGUUAAAUAUUUUUCCCCCCUUGAUUGACUAGCAGAGCACAUGCAAGAUGUUGUGGGGUUGUUAUUUAAAUACAUAAACCUUUUACGGCAGUCUGGUGCUAGCAAAUGGAUAUUUGAUGAGGUAUGAUGACGCAUCUUGUUAAUUGCUACUGUUGCAUAGUAUUAUUGUUAAUUGCAUGUUUCUCGCAUCCGUGCAGUCUUGCCUCUUUGUAGGAUGCUUCUGUUGAAGAGCAUAGUGGUAGGAUGAUUGAUUUGCAUUAAAUUUUCUACCUGAGAAUGUUGGGGUUUGGCUGUUAGCUUAGUAUCUAUUUUGCUUCUUAUUUCUACUACUACUAUUAUUUGUUGUUGGAAACAAGAAGUUAUUUGACUCUGCUAAUGGCAUUACGUUUUAGUUGUGAGAUACUAUUAUUGUUCGAUAGUUUGUUCUUACAAUGCUGUGGUAAAAGUUGGUCUUUUGGUUAAUGACUUGUGAUUGUAAUUGGCCGUAUCAAUGAUGUAUAUGUAGAAAUGUGAAAUGGGGGAACUAUGAUAGUUGCUAUUCAAACAUUACUUGCAUGCUAUUGUUAAGUUUUAGGAUUAUGGUUGAAACAGGAAGAAUAUGUUCUUGUAGAUGAUGUAUCUUAACGGACGCUUUUAAGAAAUUGUUCUGCUGACCACCAGAGAUUUGAGUAUAGCCACCCACAGUAUAUCCACCGAAGGUUUGAGAAUAGUUUUUACUCGGUGUAAAGGAAAAAAAAUUGCAUCAAAUUUAUUGCCCUCUAGUUUUUCUUCCUUUUAUACUUUCAUGCAAUCUGAAAGGAAGGAAAGUUCAUGACAGCAGUCCAACACAUCAAUGAAUCUGGCUUUGUAUUAUUAUCAUGCAUUUUAUGUCUUUCAUAAUAUUUUAAAAGUUUUGUCAUGCUGUAUUCUUGCUUGAAGGAUAAUCAACUCUCUCCUUGUCAGUACUUCAAUUGUUUACUAUUUAUUGAAUUUGCAUCUGGAAGGUUGCCCGUCUUGUUUUCAGCCUAUCUAGUCUUCAACAUUCUGACAUUUUUUUUAUCUUAUGAAGCUUUCAGCUGUUUGUGAGGUGACAUUUCAUUAUCAGGAUAAAGUCCCCCCGAUUGACUAUGUGGUUACUGUUGCUACCUAUAUGGAGGUAUACGUUCUUUUUCAUUUUGUAAAGUUAAUCCUGCUGGGUUGAACGAAAUAUCCAGUUUUAUUACAUUGUUUAAAAUAAUUGGAAUAGUGUAGGAGUAUAGCUUGAGGAACUGAUUGUGAGGCAUAGCUGCUAACACCACUUGAAACACUAGAAAAUACCUUUAUCCGAUGAUUGAUUGGAUGAAAAAUAUGGUUAUCUUGCCUGCCUCAUUGUCUCUUUCCCUUGCACAUAAAGCUGUUUUUGUUUAAUGUUAGACAUAGAUAAGUGGAUAUGGUGAGUAGAUUAAUAAUCUUGUUCUACCAUUGUUUUUGAAUGCUGGACCUCUUUUUUUAGAUUCCCAACAGCUUUUUGCAAGAACCAGUCUUUGUGCUAUUCUUAUAGACAGUUUACAAAUUUGACUUUCUUUUCUUUUUUCUACAUUUUAAGGAUUAUUUGGGCUUGUGAAUCAUGGAUUGGUAGCUGAUUGACAUCUUUCUUUUGCAGUUGUCUGUUUUGAUUGUGAAUGAGUCAAUUAUUACUGUUUUUUCUGUUAGUAAAUGAUGCCUUGAAAUUAUUUUUCAGACAUAUCCCCCUCAAGACUGGCUAGUGGGUAAAUCAUUGCCUUCCAAUUUCAGUCCAGAGAUUAUUCAAAUGACUUUGAAUGAGCUUUCUCCAAAAACUGUUCGGUAAGUUUGUAAGCGCCUAGAGAGCGUUUGACUCGGUGCAUAUGACGAAUGACUCACAUGGUUCCGUUGUUUGAACUUUGUACAUAACAUCUGUUCCAAUUUGAUUGUUUAAAAGUUUAACUUUAGUUCACUAUUUUGUUGGACAUGGUACCUGAUUCUGGUAGAAGUUAUCCGAACUUAAUUUAAGCAUUUGACUUAUCGUUGAACUUCUAUGGCAGGAUGAUGUUUUAUUUUUAUCAUUCCCAUUCUUCUUGCUAUAAGAUAAGUUCUUUUUCUUGUAAAAUAAUUUUGUUUGGCUUUAAACUAUUCCAUGUGCAUGUGAAGCCUUAUCUGCUUGUUUCCAUUAUCUGCUGUAAUAUAACUAAUUGUUUGCUUCCCAUUGCUUUAUGUUUAAAAGAAAAGGGAAACAUUUCAAUAUCAUUGUAUUGCCAAUAACUUGGUUAGCAGUUUCGGAUUUGAUACUUUGUUUUCAAGAGUAAUUACUUGCAUUUUUCUGCUUGUUGGUAGUAAUGCUCAAGGACAUGUUUGUGUCUCAUAAUUCAUGUACAAUUGGCUGUCUCCAUCUUGCAAUCAAAGUCAGACUAUUGUGAUUGGCAGAUAGUCGGCUUUCUAAUAAGCUCUCUGUUUAUCAGGAUUUUUUGGGAGUCAAAGCAAUUUGAGGGGAAAACAGACAUGGUUGAGCCUUGGUAUGGUACCACUUAUUCCAUUGAGAAAAUCGAUGAGUCCAUAAUUCAGGUUCGUUGUUUGAUUUUAAAUAUGAUAUGAUUCAUUAUUCUAGUAAUAAUAACAGAGGUCAAUGUCCUUGGAGGCAAAUGGCUAUUAGAAUGAGAUGGAGGGUGAGGUUUCAGGGUUUCUCUUUUGGUUCAUGGAUAUGAUUUCCAAGAAGGAAAAGUUCAUAUUAGAUUGGAGUGUAUGCUAUUUAUCUUGUCCCACAUUCAGUGGAAGCAGCUAAAUAAAUUUUGCGUGAUUAGAGCAGCUUGAAGGAAGGAAUUGAUGAGUCUUCAAAAUCUUUAUUUGUUUCCAGGACUGGAUACUGUCUGCUCCUGAGGAAAAUCUGCAUCUCCCAGCUCCUAAUGUCUUCAUCCCCACUGACUUGUCUCUUAAGGAUGCACAAGAGGUCUCAGGAUUUUUUUUCCCCCAUCUUUACAGUAAAAUUUAUUGUGAUGUUCUCUUUAAAGUAAUUGUUCGUAUGCAAUUGGUCUUUGUAACAGGCCAAAUUCCCAGUUCUGUUGAGAAAGUCAUCCUAUUCAACAUUGUGGUACAAGCCUGACGCAAUGUUCUCUACACCCAAGGCAUUUGUUAAGAUUUAUUUCAACUGCCCCCAUGCUAGCAGCUCUCCUGAAUCUGAAGUUCUGACUGAUAUUUUCACACGGUUGUUACUGGACUAUUUGAAUGAAUAUGGUAAGAUGCUGGAUAAAUGUCGUAGGAUGUUGAUGUAGGAUUGGACAAAUGACUAUUCCUUUUCUUUUAACUUUUGUUUUCAUUCUUUUUAGUUGGAAACAGACAAACUUUUAUAGAAUAAAUAAAGGGAGAAAGAUUUCCAAAGUAAACUAGAGUUCCACAUACUAAAAUUUCAUUGAAGGAACAGAUUAUUACCAAAGGGCUUCUCAUACCUGAUCCCUGUAUUUAGGUUUAGUUGAGUUGACCGAGGUCAUGUAUUGAUUUUGUUUGAUUGGGCUUUUUUCACAUUUUAGUAAAUUUUGGGACUUGUAUGCUGUUUGAGGUAUAGGUAUGCAUUUGUUCUAUAUGGUUAGUAGGUAGCUUUUAUUGGACUGUCUUUGUUUCCCUUGUGAACCUCUGGUUCACUUCCAUAUCAUCUUCUCUUUCAUUUUGAUAAAAUUCUUAUGUUUCUGGUACAGAGCAUAACUUCCACAAUUUACAUAAUUCUGUAUUUGUGAAUAAAAUUAAAUUUUUUCCUUACCCAUCAUAUCUUUAUGUAUCAGCUUACUAUGCUCAGGUUGCUGGCCUUGAUUAUGGGAUAAACCACACUGAGAGUGGUUUUGAGGUAAUGUUAUCACUUGCCUUUGAUAUUUAUCGCAUGUUGGUAUGCAUUUUUCUGUGUCGAUUUUAUGGUUUUUGCUUCUAUAGGUUACAGUGGUUGGAUAUAAUCACAAAUUGAGGAUCUUGCUGGAAACUAUUUUUCAAAAAAUUGCACAAUUCAAAGUCAAACCUGACAGAUUUUCUGUGAUUAAGGUAAUGAUUUAGGCUUAAAAUAUUUGACCUGUUUGACAUUGAAUGUUAUUUUCUUUUAUCAUCUUAAACAUCUAACUGAAUCAAAGUACUAGUAUUAUUUGUUUAUAAUUGGGAGCUUACAAUAAUUUUCUUUGGUUGUGCUGUUCCAAAGCCUGCAUAGCUUUGGUUGUUUUGAGCUCCAAAUCAGUAACAUGGCUUUUCAGCGUGAAGGUUUUAGGGGUGUACAUUUGGGUGUGGGCGUGCAUGUAUCUUUUUCUUUCACCUUUUACACCUGGAUUCCAUUCAUGUGGAUGCACAUGCAUAAGCAACCACAAACCCCCUGAAGUGGAUCUUCACUGUGGUAGGGGCUUACUAAAAUAUUAAGGGUAAAAAAUAUAUUUUUGUUUAUAUUUGAUUAUUAAAGUGUAUAAGCUGUUUCUAAAAAUGUCUUAGCACUUUUUUUUAGUUCUUCCGGAACUUGCAUUUGAUGGUUCUGUGAGCGACUCCUCAACUGGUUGAACUUUUGACUUAACAAUCCCCAUUUGCACUGUAUGGAACCAUUAUCAUGUUGCUUCCCUUGGUGAGUCUGUUAUGAACCCAAGCUGUUCAUGUAUGAAUAAAGUUUUUCAUUCCCUUUAUUUAUUUGCAGGAAAUGGUGACAAAAGAAUACCAUAAUAAUAAGUUUCUACAGCCAUAUCAACUGGCUAUGUACUACUGCUCUCUAAUACUUCAGGAUCAAACGUGGCCUUGGAUGGAAGAACUUGAAGUUCUUCCUCAUCUUGAAGCUGAAGAUCUUGCUAAAUUUGUACCCAUGAUGCUCUCUAGGACCUUCUUGGAAUGUUACAUAGCAGGUCCUUCUGUUUCAAUUUUUUAAUGGCAUUGUUUGAGAUUUCGGUCGCUCCUUUUUGUUUCCAUUUAUGAUCUCAUUACUUUCAUUUGUUCUCAGGAAACAUUGAAUCUAAUGAAGCAGGAUCGAUUAUCCAGUACAUUGAAGAUGUUUUCUUUAAGGGCUCAAACCCAAUAUGCCAACCAUUGUUCCCAUCCCAGCAUUUGACUAAUAGAGUUGUUAAACUUGAAAAGGGCAAGAAUUAUGUGUACUCCAACCAAGGCCUGAAUCCUAGUGAUGAAAAUUCUUGCCUAGUCCAUUAUAUUCAGGUACAAGAAUUUUUUUUAGAAAAAAAAAAAGGAAAAUAAUGAUUUAAUUAAGUGCUUUGGCUGCUGAUAUACGUGUUCUAUGCUGCGUCUAUACUCCUUGUAAAAUUAAGCAGCUGGUAUUCUGCAUGCAUUUCUUAUCCCUUCUAAUACUUGAAAAGCUUUGAAAGUAUCCUUUUGGGAAGAGGAUAAAAUCUUGAGCAGUAUUCUAAUUGUUAUUGGGACACAUGUUUAUCACUAGUGUAUUCUUUCUUCCCAUUGCUGUAUCGUAGUUGGAGGCAUUGAUUUCAAAUUUUAGAUAUUUUCAUGAAAAGGGGAUGAAAUACUGAUAUUUGUUUCAACAAAUAUUUUCUCCCCAGUUGUUACCUUUUUUUUUGGGGGGGGAGAAGGGGGCUAAAAAGGAGAGAGAAAAAAAAAAGAGAUUAGCAAGUAGUUGAGCCUUUUUCCGUCUUUUCACGGUGAAUUGACCCCCGUGUAUGGUGUAGGGCGGUUUUUGCUUUAAAAUGGCUUUGUUUGGGCUGUCAUUUCUUGAUGAACAGUGGUUUGCCUCUUUACUGUCCGUAUGAUUAGGUUAUUCAGCUAAGACCCUAAACUACUGAACAAACUGUGAUUAAGGAAUAAUUAUGGUAAUGUUUUCGCCAUUACUUUUAAGACAAACAUACAGUGUGUAUUAUUUAUGUGUUGAUGUCUGCCAUUACUUUCAGACAGCACAAACUGUGAUGAGAUCUAUUUAUAUGUUGCUUUUGCCAUUACUUUAAGUGAAUUACAUGUCAUCCAACUGUUCUUUAUGCAUGUUGAUGAGGCUCCGAACUUAAGCUCUGAAAGAAAUAGUUUUGUGUCCAAUUUCUUGAAAAUAUAUAUCUUGUGCUAAGCGACAUUGGUUUUCCUCGAGCAUUCCUUGAUUCAUGGAGUUAAUAUUGUUUUGUUGCUUUAGAAUUAUAUGGUUUUGGGACAAACUGGCAUGGAUUCUGAAAUGUAGGUUAUUGGUACCCAUGCAACAGGGAUAAUAGAUGUACAAGUCACACAAAAUCUUUUACAUGUUUCUCGAUCUCUAUUUGACCAAACCAUUUGUUUCUGUGGGGGGUCUGAUGCGAUUCUGAUGUCAUGUCAUGUUGAGUUGUUCAGGUUCAUCGAGAUGAUUUCCUUAUGAAUGUGAAACUUCAGCUUCUUGCUCUUAUUGCAAAACAACCAGCUUUCCACCAGCUUAGAACCGUUGAGCAACUUGGGUACAUUACAGCACUCCUGCAGAGGUACAUAACUUGAGGUCCCUAGUUCUCCUUCAGCUUGGAGUGUUUGCUUUAAAUUUAGCUAUCUACUUGAUGUAGGAAUGAUUUUGGUAUCCAUGGAGUGCAGUUCAUCAUUCAAUCCUCAGUAAAGGUGAUAGCAUAGUUUUGUUCUUUGAAUAUGCACAUUGACAGCAUUAUUGUCGCUUUGCCUCAAGUGCUCUGUCAAUUUAACAGGGUCCGAAGUAUAUUGAUCUGAGAGUUGAAUCAUUCCUCCAGAUGUUUGAAAGUAAACUUUAUGAGAUGACCAGUGACCAAUUCAAGGUGAAACGCACAUUUCUAUUCUACAUGAGUUAUUCUGCUCUGUGUUUUCACUGAUGAGAUUGUUUUUAUAAACACUACAGAAGGUUGGAAGUUAUUAUAUCAGUAAUGCUCAAGUUUGAUGCUCAAAUCUUUUACCAAUAGAAUUAUCAAAAGAAUCAUUUGGAUAACAUGUUUUGAAUAGAGAAAGUACUUCCCUAAUCUUAAUUCUAGACUAUUAACUGCAUGAAUUAAUUUGAUAAUGCUUAUAUACAUAUGCCAAGGCUUUUACAGUUGCUAUUAAUAUGAGAUAAAUAUGAUAUUAUUCCAUCUUUUUAUCAUCAUUUUGUCAUAUCCUAGUCUUGAAAUGCAAUGGAACUACAUUAAGUACAAAGAAAGAGAUUGGUGAUAUUAAAGGAGAUAAUAUUCCUUACCAAUUUUUCUGUAAUUGCAUCUAUUGUCCCAGUCUCAACCACUUUUUUCUUUUAUGUGAAAUUAUUAUUUUCUUGAUGAUCCCAGAUAGAUAUUCUGUUUAUAUGAGUGUUUUUGGAUAAAUGCCUGGCUCCUUAACAGUGAAAAUGGCAUUUUUUUCAUGUAGAACAACGUAAAUGCAUUGAUUGAUAUGAAGCUUGAGAAACACAAGAAUUUAAAGGAAGAAUCUGGAUUUUACUGGCGUGAGAUUUCUGAUGGGACCCUCAAGUUUGAUCGGAGGGAGGCUGAGGUAUGGGAAUUACUAUCAAUUUAUUUAUUUAUUUUUCACCAAGUCAGGUUAAGACUUUUGUAUGUUUGAAGAUUCAUUUUCAAUUUAUUUUGGAGAAAAAGGUAAACUAAGAGACAUGAAGAACGCAGCCUCUGCUCUCUGUAAACCUUCUUAGGGGCCUGAGCAAAUUAUAAUUAUCUUUUUCACUUGUAGUUGAGUACUUAUAUUAUGAAGUAGUUGGUUUAUACAAUAUUAGUGUUCAAACAGGUUGCAGCACUGAAGCAGCUGACACAACAAGAAUUGAUUGACUUUUUCAACGAGAAUAUUAAAGCUGGUGCACCGCGGAAGAAGACACUAUGUGUUCGAGUGUAUGGGAGCCUGCAUGCACCUGAGUUGAAGGAAGAAACUAGUGAAUCAGCUGAGCCUCACAUCGUUCACAUAGAUGAUAUUUUCAGUUUCAGAAGAUCACAACCUCUCUAUGGUUCAUUCAAGGGUGGUUUUGUUCAAAUGAAGUUGUGAGGUGUUGAAUCUUACAUCUGAGUCUGUUCGUAAAGAAGACUCUGCAACUACAGGAAGAGAACAGCGGAUUUCAAACAAGCUUCCACAUCAACUAUGAAAAAGAUGGGUGCCCGUAAAUCCAUUGAUCAAAUAAAGGUUCUUAUAGCACCAAUCAAUUCGACAUAAAUCAAAAGAUUAUACUCUUUUAACUUAUUGAUGAAUUACACCUGUAAUGAAAUGGUGCCCCAACGUGUUUUUUUUUUUUUACCAUUGUACGGAAACCGAACUUGAGACAAGUUACAAAAUUCAUCUGCCACUGCAAGGCAUGUUUAAGACUCUGUCUAGUAUUGCUGUCUUUAGCUCGAGCCUCGAAGUACUUUGGUAAACACUCACAGAUGAAUUUUUGGUAUCCUCGUUCUCUUUGGUCUCACGCGACUUUAACCUCGAGAAACAUCGAAAACAGGUGGUAUACUCUCUUGACUUCACGGGCGAGGCCUAUUUUUCAGUUAUGUUUUUUGAGGUUGCUUUGAUAUUUUGUCUAAUCCUUACUUCACAGGAGAACAUCAGGAAGUAAACUGUUCAAUUAAAUUUACGAAACCACCAUUUAAUCAAAUUCUAAAACCAGCAAACAAAAGGUAACGUAUGAAAAAAAAGGAUUAAAUAAACAUGCAAAUUCAUGCAAAUUCUGAAAGAAAAGAAUGUAUUAUCUGUCAAAACUGAUUACAACAAUUUUCCCUGCUAACCACUUAUCUCAAUUUUGAGACAACAGAAUAGAGACAGAGAGGUGACUUUUGUUUUAGAAGAAACCCAGGUGAAAGAAAAAGGAUAAUGUAAGAGAUUUUGGCUUUGAGAAUGAGAAGGAGAGACUGCACACUCGUAUAAAUAGGUUAUCUCCAUGUUUCUUGGCCUUCACAUUCUCACUUUCCUUUCUCUUCCUUCCUAUCCAAGUUACCUUUUCUUUUUUAAACCCUUUCUUUUAAUUUUUUUGAUGCUGCGCAAAUACAAGAUUCUUCACAGAUUUAUUCUGAGAGUAUUCGGUCCGCAAAUCAAAAUAUUGAAGAAAAUUUUAAUCUUUCACAUUUUUCACUUCAAUAACAUAUGCAUUUCAUGACUGUAAAUAUAGUAAACACUAGCAAAAUACAUUGUACCACAGACACUGGGCUUAAGUUCAAGUGGGAACAGGAAAGAAAAAAAAAAAAAAAGAGAGAUUAACUGAUAAAGGUAUCCUGAUCAUUUGAUCUCUUAAUUAUAAAAUAUUGUCUAUCCUACAUUUUUAAUGUGAUUGGAAUCAUAACAAUUUAAAUCUGUAUCUUCUAUCUGAAUAUAUUCUUUCUUUUAUUUUGGUUGCCUAGUGAGAAUUUUAUUUGUAUUUUGGCUUCUUUGCUUGUUGAUCUUAUUUUAUAGUCUCUAGGAUUUCGAAGAUUAUUGGUUGGGUCUCUCUUUUUUCUUUUUCUUUUUUGUUCUUUUUUUUAAAGGAAAUUCAUUGCACAUCUGCCAAAAAUUUGGAGAGAGAACUUUUUUCCUCAAAUAAAAUGUUUAAUACAAUGUCUUUUAAUUUGGUUGGUUGCAUUCUAUAGAUACUAUAAUAUGAAGUUCACAGAGAAUCUAAAUACAUAAAUUUAUAGUAUAGACCAAAAGUUUAUUAAUGCUACUUACAUAUAUUUGUAAUAGAAUAAUGAUAGAGAUACAACUAUCUUAUACAAAUAAGUAUAUAAAAUCAUUAUGGACCUAUAUAGUUUAAAAAAAAAACUAUUAUCACUUUUUAACCAAUCUAUUUAUAUUAUCUCAAUUUAUACAUACCAAUUUAUUUAAAAUUGUCUAUGACUUUUGUCAUUACUCAUUUACUUUACCCAUAUUGGCGAAAUAGUUGAAUCCACUCCAAAUCGUGUCCUCAACAAAAGUUGAGACUUGAGAACACAAACCCACAGCCAGGUCAGGGCCUUAUUAAUUGUUUUUCUUUCAGAUGUUAUCACUUUUUGGGUUGCGUGUACAAUAUUUCGAUAUUUUAUGAGAAUACAUACCAUGCGCAUCAAUCACUUUCCGAGUAUCACCGUUUUGUUGAGGUUUGAUUUCUUCGGUGAGAGUUCAAAGUUUCCAUUUGGCAGAAGUGCUGCAGAUUAAAAUACAUUUUAGACCAAAAAUUUAUGAACAUCAGAGAUAUAACUUCGGUGGAAUAAUAAGUCACUGAUAUUAUGUGUGUUUUUAUUUUAAAAUUAAGAUUUUUACCGCAUAAACAAUAGAUGUUUCUUUCUUGAAUUAGAAGAACAACAUUAAUCUCACUCAAAUGGCCAAAAUUACAUGGCAAGACACAUCGACUACACAAACAAUUAGAAAAAAGAAACUCAAUAUAAGAUUAUUUAAUCCCCAUUUACUUAACUUAGAUUAAGAAACUAGUUCAAGAGUCCAGGGUUACCCUAAAUUUAAAUAAUUAACUAAAUAACUAUUCUCAGCCGAUGUGACAUAAUAUCCUCCAAUAAAGGAGCCAAAUAAGCAACCGGCUGUUUUUUGUUUUAUUUUUGUAAAAACAGCACACGUCAUAUAUAUAUUUAUAAUUUUAUUUUAUUUUUUACUUCCGUGUACAAACGGUAGCUUAAUUAGCAAAUUAAUACAUAAUCAAAUGUGUUACAGGUUUUGUAUGUGCUAUAAAAUGAAAAAAAAAAAAAAGCAAAAGUUAAGGAUCCGACAAAUGCUUACUGUCAAGAUAUCGAGGAGGACGAAUAACUCGAGUGGUAGCAGAGCCACCAUUGCUUAGAGCUGAGAAAAUGAGUGCAAAGCAAAGAAAGAGAAACAAAGCCAUUUUUUCUAUGAUGAAGAAGCAAAUAGACUGAAUAGGAUAUUUAUAGAAUGAGUUAGUUCAAAAAGAUCAGUACGCAAAUAAUGACUUUAAUAUUGAAUUUGAAGACAAAAGCGAAGGAAGAAAAAAUAAAAAAGAAAGCCACGUUAUAAGGCCACCAAAUUAGCCGCGAGAAGUGUCCCUUUGUCCAAGCAUUUCCCAAACCUCAAGUAUUGUAUUUCCACACAAAUUUCUUCGUUAAUGCGUUGGAGCCCCACAUGAAGUUUCAUUACUGGUUGCCGUGAUUUGCUCCUACUUUGAAUUCUAUCAACUAAUAUUUCGAAGUACAUAUAAAGUACAGAUUCUAUUUCAUAUGACAUAGGCACAUGCUGCCAAUAAUAGCAGAACAAUACUUUACAAUCUUUCACAUUAACAGAUAAUUUAUUUAAUCAUUCUCAUAAUCAAUCCUACAAGUACAAGUUCGUCCAGAAGGUUGAAUGCUCUCUUUCUCUCCGAAAGAGAGCAAAAGAAUGGAGUAUAUUUUGAGCUUUAAUGGCUCUAUUCUUCACUCAUUAGACUGAGUGAUUGGUUCUGAACCUUUUCAGAGAGUGUCAUUAGGGAAGUGCAUUUAUAAAAGUGAGAGUAGGCAAAAAAUACUGGAAAACUCAGGGUAGUAAAUAGGUGGAGGUUAGUUGAUGUAUUCAAUACCAAUGGAUACUGAGGAGUUAAUAAGGAAAUGCAAAGCUAUCUCCAUACGAGACGGCAAUGAAAGAAAACUAUCACUCAGGGGUGGAACACAAGGGCAAGGAGGACGCAUAAUUGCAAACUCUCUAGUGGGCAAGUUCUGCUGGCACGGAGCAUACAAACAGAAGGAAUCAAAACCGCCUUACCACAAGCAUGGAGAACAAUAAAAGAGGUGAAAGUUGAAAGCUUGGGAAACAAUAUUUUUCUUUUUAAGUUUGGUUUGGAAACAAAUAAAAGAAAGGUGAUGGCAGGAGGACCUUGCAUUUUGACAGAUCGUUGAUUGUGCUAAAGGAACCUAGUGGGAUUGGAAACAUGAGAAAGGAGGAAUUUACAUAUGCAGCUUUUUGGGUGCAAAUUCAUAAUGUGCCUAUAGUAUGUAUGGAUCGGGAAAAUGUUCAAAAACUGGGGGAGUUGUUAGGAGAGGUUCUGGAAGUGGAAACAUAUGAUGAUGGGGAAUGCAUUGGUCCGUAUGCGAGAGUCAGAAUUUCCAUCAACAUUAUAAAACCAUUAGAAAAAAUGGUAUUCUUGGAGUUGGAAGAUAACGAUGAGGUGGAAUUGCCGGGCUUGUAUGAACGACUUCCAGACUUCUGCUUCUGUUGUGGUAUUAUUGGGCAUCAGUUCAAAGAAUGUGUAUUAUAUGAAGGGCAAUCAAAAGAAAAUCUGCCUUACGGGGUUUAUAUGAGGGCUCUAUCAAAAGCAGAAAAAACCAGAAUAAACUGAGGCAGAGACAAAUGGAAUAGAAGGGGGGAGCAACAAAACAAUGGCCUCACGGAGCUAGAGAGCCAGAGGAGAAGUCAGCCACAUCAUAUUGGCCUGGAUCCAGAUGAAAACAAACUCGGGUUAAACCAACCAAAUUCGGGUGAGCAUGAAAGCCAAACAAUAAAGACAGGUGAGCAAUUAAUACAAAUGACGCUGGAACCAAGGAAGCAGCAUGAGAAUGUACAGAAGUAAUCCAGCACAGCUACUGCUGUAAACAUAACUGACAGCCCAAGUGGCUAUGAGAAACAGAGAGAAGAAGCGGGAACAGAAAAUAGGGAGGGAACCAAUUUGAGCGUGGCGCCAAAUCUAGAGUCAACUACAAUUUCUAGUCAAAGCCCUAGAAAAGAUGAGGUGGUGUAUGAGGGGCCAGGAACAAAAAAUGCUAGGCUCAAACGAAGAAAAUGGAAACUUCAGGUUAAAAAUGUAAAUAAAAAAGGGCACACAAAAUACGGAUCAAUUGGAGGAAAAAGGCUGGGGGGGGGGGAAUCACCAAAGCCAAGCCCAAAGUGUAAAAAACCAGAAUUCAAAGCCCCACAAAAUUACUGUAGCUAAAGCCAACACUUACAAUCGGCUUCCACAUAAACACAAGCUUCACUGGGAGGAUUUGGAUGCAGUGGACAAGGAACAAACCAACCAUGCAGCAAUUCAAUCGGCGGAGGCUGAGGAGCAGCCUCGCCGACAACCAUGAAAAUCUUGAGUUGGAACGUCCGGGGGUUGGGGAAUGACCGGACGUUCAUAGCUCUGAAAAAGUUCUUCCAAUUAUACAGGCCUCAGUUGAUUUUCUUGUGUGAAACUAAAUUGAAGACUGUACGCAUGAAUAAUGUUGGCAGAAAGCUAAAGAUGGAAAAUUGUUUUGCAGUGAGCAGUAAGGGAAAGAGUGGGGGUUUAGCUAUGUUAUGGACUUUGGAAACAAAUGUGAAUAUCACCUCCUUCAGCAGCCACCACAUUAAUGCAGAGAUAGUAACUGAAAAUGGAGAUCAGAUGAGAUGCACUGGGAUCUACAGCCAUCCAGAAACAAACCAGAAAAAACACACAUGGACUCUACUAAGAAGGCUAGCAAGUUUGUCUUCAUCCCCAUGGCUUUGUUUCGGUGAUUUUAACGAAAUUAUGCACUUUAAUGAGAAAAAUGGGGGGAACGAUAGGGAACUUAGUAUGAUCACAGAUUUUAGAGAAGCUGUCCAGGAUUGUAAUCUUAGAGAUUUGGGUUGCAAUGGUUACCCAUUCACAUGGUCCAAUAGGAGGUUUGGAACCCACUUCAUUAAGGAACAAUUAGACAGAUUCAUGUGCAGCAACGAUUGGUCAAAUUUCUUCCAGGACCAAGCUGCAACUAAUUUAGUUACAUCGUGUUCUGAUCACAACCCAAUAUUAAUGGCUGUAAAGAGCAAAGAUAAAUAAGGGCAUACAAGAGGAAAUGUUUCUCUCGAACUCACUACGAGGAUUUAUGGAGCUCUUAUAAUGAGUGCCAAGAAAUUGUUGAGGAGGAAUGGUCCAAGCAUGGUAAGUGGGAGGGGACUGAUGUAGUUAAGCUCUUUAAGCAUGUCAGCACAGCUUCGCUUGCAAAACUCAUACACUAGAGCAAAAGGGCUUUUGAAGGCAAUAAAAAGAAGCUUGAAAAGCUGGUCAACAGAAUCAAGGACCUUCAGCAGCACAAAUGGAGGUAUGAAAGUAAUGAAGAAUUAAGAAGUAUUGAAAGACAGAUCCACCAUCUCCUGCUGGAUGAAGAGAUUUAUUGGAAGCAGAGGUCCAUGGUGGAUUAGCUUAGAGAGGGAGAUAAAAACACAAAAUUUUUUCAUCUCAAAGCCUCAUCUAGAAAGAGAAAAAAAUAAAAUAUGGAGAACAAAAGCUGCUCACGGUAAUUGGAUCAAAGAGACUGGUGAAAUUGCUAAACAAUUUUGUGAGUAUUUUAUAGACUUAUUUUUAACUUCCAACCCCACCAAAGAUCAGAUGGAAGAUGCUCUAAGAGGAAUGAGGCCAAAAGUGUCACCAGAAAUGAACACAGACAUGAGUCAGCCCUGCACAAAGGAGGAGAUUAUAGAAGCCCUGGCUCAAAUGUGUCCAACUAAGGCUCCUGGACCUGAUGGGUUACCUGCUGCUUUCUAUCAGAAGCAUUGGAAAUAGGUAAAGGAAGGAGUUAUCUCUAUAUGCCUUCACAUCCUUAAUAACACAAGUACAAUUACCCCGUUAAACCACACCUAUAUUGCUCUAAUUCCAAAGUGUGCCAAGCCUAGGAAAGUGACGGAAUUCAAACCAAUAAGCCUUUGCAAUGUAAUCUAUAAAAUCAUUGCCAAAACAGUGGCAAAUAGAUUGAAAAUUAUUUUGCAUGAUGUCAUUGAUGUUUCUCAAAGCGCAUUCAUUUCCAACAGAUUGAUAACCGAUAAUAUCAUUGUUGGGUAUGAAUGCCUUCACAAGAUUAGACAUAGCAAAGGAAAAAAAAAAGGAUUGGUGGCUCUGAAGUUAGACAUAAGUAGAGCUUAUGACAGAGUGGAAUGUGAGUUUUUAAGGUUGACAAUGGGUAGAUUAGGCUUUGAGGAGAAGGUCGUUAAUAUGAUAAUGAAUUGUAUUACUUCUCCAACCUUUUCUAUAAUCAUCAAUGGAGUUCCUCAGGGGAUGAUUACCCCCUCAAAGGGGUUUGAGGCAAGGCUGCCCUCUAUCCCCAUAUUUGUUUAUAAUAUGUGCUGAAGCAUUUUCAAAUUUAUUGAUACAAGCUGAGAGGAAAAAAUAAAUUUAGGGGCUGAGAUUUGGGCAAUAAAUAUCCAUUUCUCAUCUUUUAUUUGCAGAUGACAGCUUGAUUUUCUCUCAAGCUUCAACCAAAGACUGCCAGCACUUGAAAAACAUCUUUGAGUGCUAUGCUAAAGCUUUUGGGCAAAUCUUCAAUUAUAAUAAGUCAUGCAUGUUUUUUAGUGGAAAUGCUCCAGCAAAGCAGGCCUCAGACAUUAAAAGAAUUUUCCAGCUCAAUGUGAUUUCAAGACACGAGAAAUAUCUGGGGCUACCAUCUAUGAUCGGGAGAAAAAAAAAAGACUUUUUUCAAUGAGAUCAAACUGAAAAUUCAGAGCAAGAUAUCUAAUUGGCAGCAAAAACUCGUCUCGAGUGGGGGGAAAGAAGUCUUGAUCAAAGUUGUGGCACAAGUUGUACCAGCUUAAGCUAUGAGUGUCUUUAAGAUUCCCGUGGGGCUUUGUGAUGACAUUCAAAGAAAUAAUGCUGGUUUUUGGUGGAGCAAGAAGAAAGAAAAGAGAGGCAUUCCCUGGACAAGAUGAGAGGAAAUGAGUAGAGCCAAGAUUAGAGGAGGGAUGGGGUUCAGAGACAUAUCAAGUUUCAACCAAGCCUUAGUUACGAAACAAGGUUGGAGAAUAAUUCAAAAUCCGGAAUCCUUAGCAGCUAAAGUACUAAAGGCAAGGUAUUUCCCAAUGACUGAUUUUCUUAGAGCUUCCAUAAGGUCAAAUCCAUCCUAUAUUUGGAGGAGCAUAAUGUGGGAAAAGUGUUGUGCAAAUUUUAUUGAACUCGCAAGCGCACGAAUCUAUUAUAGAAUAUAUCAAUGGUGACGAGUGUCGAUCCCACGAGGAGGUUGAUUUUAAUUGUAUGUAGAAUUAAUUUUCCAAAUCGGUGGAUGAAUUUGUAGUGAAAAUGAUUUGAAAUAUUUUAAAAUUUAAAUUAAAAUGGCCAGAAUAAAUUGAAGAGAAAUCUAUUGAAAUGAAGCACUUGAGUAUCUGGAUCCGUAUCAACAUGCAUCAUGAGCUAAAUAUUCCUUAUUAGCACCAAUUAAAUCAUGAGGGGGAAUCCACACCUCAUGAACCACACUCUAAUCAAUAUGGUGCUAAGGGCUUAUCGUGCCAAAUAAUAAUAACUUGUACUAGGGAGCCGGUGAAACCAGGACAGUAUUUAGAUAAGAUUAUUAUUAUUUGUCGACGAAAAGUCAAAACAUUCCUAAAAAUUAGAGGGAAAGAGAAAAUAAAUUUACCAAAUAAAGCUUAUGGCACAUGUUGAGACUUCACCUUCAAUCCAAGCUUGAAAGAAAAUUAGCUACUCAUAAUUGAACUAGGGGCAAAAUGGAAAUUUAUUAAAAUACAUAGAAAAUACAAGAUGGAGAAGGAAUUAGAGAAAAUUGAGCUCAAAAAUGAAUUCAGAGAUGUCCAAUUAGGGGGAGAGGCCCCUUUUUUAUAGAUACAUUGAGUAAAUCAUGGCCAUUAGAGUAAAAACAAUUUGGACGCUCAGGAUUGCACCACGUCAUCAGUCAACAGUACGCGGUUUGAACAGUGACACGGGUUGACCACAUGGUUUGAACAGUCAACCGGCUUGAACAGUGAUGCAAUUUGAUUGAAAAUAAUCCUGUGUAUAUGCAUGUACCGUAUGCGUGAUUUUUGGUCCACUAACAUACUGUCACGUCACCGAUCAACAGUGCAUAAUAAUUUUCUUCAAUGGAAUCGUGACACCUCAUCAGUCAAUGUCACAUCAUCAGUCAAUGCCACGUCAUCGUUCCGUAUGUGUAAACAGUGUCGUGAACAGUAACAUUGACAGUACUGUACAUGUGAAUAGUAUCGUACAUGUGAACAAUGCCAUUUUUCUUUUUAUACUCCUUCUAAGGUUUUCGACUAUCCUGAGUCCAAAAGUGAUGUCCGUUUUGUCGUUUGAGCUCUAGUUCAUUGUGAAAUGACCAUGAUGCCCCUAAAUUAUAUAAAAUACUUAAUUAAAAUAAAGCACACAUAAUUAAAUCACAAGAAACUUAAAUACAUAAAAGUAAGAAUGUUAGUAAAACGUGAAAUAUAAAAUGACGAUUUUCUCCUUUAUAAAUAUACAUUUUCUAACACUCAACACAUCCCCCAACCAGCUUAUUGCUAGUCCCUAGCAAAUAAAGCGAAAAAAAAAUUCAAAUCCAAAAUGAUUUUUUUUUAAACAAUCAUGUUUAUUCAAUCAGACUAAUGAUAGUAAUCAAAUAAAAGUAUAAGCAUUAUCUCCAGUCUAAAGAAACAUCACACACAUAUCAACCAUCCCCAUGAAUCUGCCCAGUAGACUUUGUCAUAGCUACUUUCAAGAAUGACAUGUUAAACCCCAAAAUCUCAUUGGAAAUAGUGACACUCUCACAAAGAAAUUAAACCCAAUAAAAAUAGUCACUCCAAUGAAUGGUAAUUGAGAGAAAAUAAUAAAGAAGUGAUAUCACACGCUUUCAACAAGAUGAAAGAAAUAUACCCUCAACUUAAAAAUAAUACGAUCUCAAGUCAAAUAAAAAUGCUAGUAAACCCAAUUUAUUUAUUUUUAUCUUUUUUUUAUUCAUCACUAUAUCUUUUUAGCCCAUAUAACUAGCUUCUACUUCAGAUUAUAGUUCCUUAAAAUCAAGAAGGUCUUUUAUUAAGACGUGACGUAGGCUAAGGAUAUGGCUAACAAAGGAGGGGAAAUAAGGAAAACAAAGUGUAUGUUUAAGAAAAAUAUAGAGUUUUUUUUUUUUUGAAGUUGCAAGGUGGAUUUCACCUAUUAUUGUUAUUUUUUUCUUUUUUUUGAAACAACAAUUUGUUUUUGUUUUUUGUUUUGCUUUUGUUUGGCACAACUUCACUGAACAACAUGAUUAUUUAUAUUUUUCUCAAAAUAAAUAGGUGAUGGAACUUGUAAGAUAUCGGGUAAUACUCCAAAUCGGAGUGAGUCAAGAUGAUAAGUUUGACCAAAAAAAAAUUUUUUUUUAAAAGCUCAAAAGGGUUAACUAUGAAUAUUUCAUAAAAGGGAUAGCUAGAAAGGCUCAAACGGAUCAAAGAUGGUCUUUCCAUCGUCUUUUAAAGCUCUAAAUAAUCUUCCAUGUCUACUAGUUAGAUGAGCCUCUAGAUGUAGCAACACACAUUUUUUUCUUUUUUUUUUUUAAUUUUUCAAUUUGUUUUAAAGGUUAAUUCAAAAGAAAUCUAGAGAUCGUGUAUAAAAUAAUAAACUACUAAGUUGUAUGAAGAAUGAGCAAAAUGGUUACUCUCCAAGAAAAAUGAUAGGUUCCAAAACUCACUUGGUACUUAUUAUGACAUGUUUAUUCCUUCAAGCAACUCAUAUUUGUCUUCGACAUCAACAUGUAGAGUAGCAAAUAUGGCGUAACAUCUCUUAAGACCAAAGAUAAUACAAAUACUAAAUUUUAAAAUUCAUCAUGUCAUCCAAUGUUAAAACAAAUCACACAAUUUUUUUUCAAACAACAUUAUUAUUAUUAUUUUUUUUGUUUUUUUUAAACGAAGAAAAUUCGUUUCUAGAGUAAUUACAUUCCAUAUUCAGCCAUCUUCAACACAAAAAGUUAGCUACAGUUAGUCUCUACAACAAAAAAUUAGUAAAAACUUAACCAAGAUUCCACAAUUGUCGAUUAUUCCCUCCCCCCAAUCAGAACGAAACAUUAACCAAGAUUCCACAAUUGUCGAUAAUCAGAACGAAACAUUGUCCUCAAUAUUUUAAAGGAAAGAAGUAGAGUUUAGAAGACAUCACCUGGGUGGUGUAACACAGAAGAAAAUAUUUACAGGCGGAGAGUUAAAUCUAAUUUGUACUUCUUACUGCGGCUACUGUUACCAUCAUUAUUUGGAUACUCCAACACCAAGGUCCUGGGAUCUGGCUCUGGUCGAUAAGUUUGUAACAGAUCAAGUACCUCAUUAGCAGUAUGAGCACAAAUAAAAAACUUUUUCGCUGUGGAAGGAAUAAAUUAGUUUUUUAUUGCAUGGUUAAGAAAUGCGAUAGAGCCAUCAUAAAAGUUAUUAACAUUUAACAAACCGAUGAGUUUUUGGUGAAUAUGCAGAUGGGCCCAAGAUGUUUGCCAUAAUUGUAGUUUUCUCUCUGCUAUGCUUCGACCAAGAUCUAUGGCUGCCUCAAUGAACUCUUUAUGUUUGCCAUAAUUAAAUCCAGAAAGCACACAAAUAUUCUUGAAUUGUUUAUUUGGAGUAGCUGCCAUUGGGAUACUUCUCAAAAAUAAUUUGAGAGUGCUAAACAAAACAAAUUAUAUUUAAGAAUCUUGGUGACAGUGGGUCAUAGCUAUAUAUGAGGUAGCAUGUCAAUGUCAAUUAAUGCGUAAAGCACAUGGUUUGAGACAGGGGUGGCUUUAGGUAUAGGCGAACAAGGCCAUCGCCUAAGGCCUCAUAUUUUAAGAAAGCCUCAUUUUUUGAGUAUUUCUUUAAUAAUUCUCUAAUUAAUAAAAUAUUUUUAAUACGUAUUUCAAGAAAUCAAAAAGUUUAUUAGAUAUCUCUCUAUUCUUAAUUAUUCUAUAACGAAGAAUUAUUUUUUAUAAAAAAUCUACAUUUGGGAACCUUAAUUUUAAAGAAAUAUAAUUAAUAAUAUUCUUUAACCUUCAUUCCUUUUCAAUUAUUCAAUAUUAGCAUAUUUGACUUUUAAUAUUUCUUUUAAUUUCUAUUAAAAACCUCAUAAUCUCAAGAAUUAGUAAAUGAAAAAAAUUUCUUGUUCUCUUCUCUACAAAUAAAAUUAUUAUAUUCAUUGGUUCAUUUAAAAUACUUAGUUUCUUAAAAUAUAAAGUCCAUUUUUAUUUUUGAACAUCAACUCAUCAUUUUAAAAUUUUUAUAUUCUAUCAUUCUAAAUAUUCUAUUUGAAAAUAAAAUUAUUUUUAUUUAUUUGUUUGUUUGUUUUUAAUGGUUUUAAUGGAAUAAAAAAAUCAAUCUUCUUGACUAUUUUUUAGGUUUUAUUUUUUAAACUUUUGAUUUUUUUAUUAUUGUUGAAAUUCAAGAAUUAAAGAUGAAAUAAAUUCUUUUUAUAUGUCUUUGAGUAUUAAAAUUAUAAAAUAAUAGAGGUCUCAUAAAAAAAUUCCGCCGAAGGCCCCUCAAACUCUAAAGCCGGCCCUGGUUUGAGAGUCAAAAAGCAAACAGUAAAAAGAAAAAAUGAUAAAAUAAAAUUAUUAAAGAAAAUAAUGCAAAUGAUAAAACAACAGUGAAGUAAAAUAACAGUGAAGUAAAAAGAUAUUUACAGGUAGUUGCGACUGUGGCUCACAUCUUCCUCUGGUUUUACGUCCAGAAACGGCUUGAACGCCCUCUAUAGGUCGAGGAUAGGCUUCCCAUCCAAUUUUCUUAUAAACUGGCAAACAUGGUCGUUUAUAGUUAGAUUCCCGACACUAUAUCGUGUAUUCUCUUUCUGGAAUAAUGGUUAUAGCUGGAGAAUCGCUCCUUGUACAUAUCCACUGGGGUGUGUUUCAAAAGACAAAAGGAUAUCAUCUAAUGACUCAUUAUUCAAGCCAUCUGUAAUGAAUUUAAUCUUAUCUUCUCUAUUAUCAGACACAAUUCCUAAAGAACAUGGUUUUUUAUUGCAUCUCAUUCUGGCACACUUAUGCAAGCAACUAAAAUUCUUCGACCUCUUCGUUUUCUUGCAUAAUUUCCUUUACCACAACUAGGCAUGUAUGCAAUAAAUUUAGGAGGCAACUCACCUGCCACUUGUACUUUUGCCUCGAUUAACCAGCGGAUGUCAGUAUGUAUGUUAUUCCUCAUCAGCAAUCGCAUGCGUUCAGACCGAGCUUUAUAGAUUGUAAGGAGGGCAUUCUGAGGAAGCGAAAGGAAUCGAUUAUGAAGAUUUGCUAGAAUCUCGUUUCUGUCCAUACAUUUGCCUCAGAAGAUCAGUUAUUAUGAGAAACUGAAGUAACCGACUUGAUUGUCACGGAGUACCGUUAUCUAACACUUCAUCGGGGUAACAAACUAAAGCACACAAACAAAGAAAAAUAAGCUAAAACACAUAAAGAAAAUUACAAUCGUCCUCUUAUUGAAUUUACCUUGUAGACACCUCUCUCAAUGUCUCUAAGUUGGCUUUCUAAAUCCUCAACAUGGGAUACUAAUUCUGGUGGUUGCAGAGCCUAAAUAUGAUGUGUUUUACAAAAUCGAAUCUGCCUUUUGAAAUGAGAUUUUACACGUUGAAGUGGUCUAAGAAUGUCCAAGAGGAAUUGUUUAGCUAUGGCACUCAUGGUUAGCAAUGAUAAGAGAAAACUUAAUGGUUAAACAAACACACUUAUGCAAAAAUAAUUUCAAUUAGCAAAAGAAUAGUAAAAAGAAAUAAAAAAAUAAAUCAUCGAAAAGAAAGAAAAAAACUCAAUUCAAAUCUGGUGGGUCACUCAAAUUUAUUUCGGUGUUCUCUCCAUGUGGUUAGUACUCUAGAUAUACCUUUAAUCUUUGACCAUUAACUUUAAAUGUGACGCCGUUCUUUGGGUCCUUAAUUUCAAUUGCCCAUGUGGAAAAACAGUGUGAACAAUAAAGGAGUCAGACCAUCGAGAGCAUAGCUUACCUGGGAAUAGGUGCAAGCGAGAAUUGAAUAAAAGCACUUUCUGACCUGGAGUGAAAGAUUUUCUCAUAAUUUUCUUGUCAUGAAAGACUUUCAUUCGUUGUUUGUAAAUCUUGGCAGUUUCGUAUGCAUCGGUGCGAAUUUCUUCAAGUUCUGUCAGCUGUAAUCUUCUUUCUGAACUAGCUUGCUACAUGUCAAAGUUGAAUUUCUUGAUGGCCCAGUAUGCACAAUGCUCGAGUUCCACAGGUAAGUGGCAAGCUUUUCCAUACACUAACCUGUAGGGUGACAUCCCAAUCGGGGUCUUGAAAGCUGUUCUAUAUGUCCAUAAUGCAUUAUCGAGUCUUAAUGACCAAUCUUUUAUGUCCGACCUCACCGUUUUUUCUAAUAUGUGCUUUAUUUCUCGAUUGGAGAUUUCAACUUGACCACUAGUUUGUAUAUGAUAUGGGGUCGCCACUUUAUAAGUGAUUGAAUACUUCGUCAAAAGAGUUUUGAAUGCUUUGUUACAAAAGUGGGCACCACCAUCACUGAUUAUUGCUCGAGGGAAUCCAAAUCGUGAAACAAUGUUGCUUUUCAAAAAUCCUAUCACCACCUUGUGAUAAUUGGUUCUACAUGGAAUUGCUUCUACCCAUUUCAGUACGUAGUCAACAACAACCAAUAUGUAUUAAUUGCCAAAAGAAGGGGGAAAAUGUCCCAUGAAGUCGAUACCCCAUACAUAAAAAAUCUCAACUACUAAAAUUGAAUUUAGUGGCAUCAUAUUCCUUCGUGUAAUGCUCCCCAUUCGUUGACACCUAUCACAUGAAGAACAAAAAAUGUAAGCAUCUCGAAAUAUAGUUGGCCAAUAGAAACCACAUUGUAAAACUUUAAUAGUUGUUUUUUUAGCACUGAAAUGGUCUCCACAAGCUUGUUCAUGGCAGAAUGAAAGAAUAUUCUAAAUUUCACUUUCUGGGACACAUCGUCUAACAAUUUGAUAUGUACAAUACUUGAACAGAUAAGGGUCAUCCUAAAAGAAAUUUUUUAUUUCCACAAAAAAAAUUGCCUUUGUCUUGCUUGGUCCAAUGCUCUGGAAGUUUACCUGUAACAAGAUAAUUCACGAUGUCAGCAUACCAUGGUAAUACUUCCACACUCAUCAAUUAUUCAUUUGGGAAUGACUCAUUCAAUGUUAAUGGUUCUGUAAUUGUGUCAAAAUGGAGACGAGAGAGAUGGUCAGCCACGACAUUUUCUGUGCCUUUUUUAUCUUUAAAUUUCAAGUCGAAUUCCUGCAAAAGUAACACCCAACGAAUUAGUCUAGCUUUUGCAUCUUUCUUUAUAAGAAAAUAUUUAAGAGCAGUAUGAUCUGUGAAUAAAAUUAUUUUACAACCAAUGAGAUAAGAUCGAAAUUUUUCCAAUGCAAACACUACUGCUAGCAUUUCUUUUUCAGUAGUUGAAUAAUUCAAAUGUACAUCAUUUAAUGUCAUACUAGCAUAAUAAAUAACAUGAGGAAGUCGAUCAACUCUUCGUCUUAAUACUGCUCCUACUGUAUAAUCAGAUGCAUCACACGUGAGCUCAAAUGGUAAGCUCCAGUUUGGGGGCUGAAUGAUGGGUGAUGAUGUCAACAACUGCUUCAAUUUUUCAAACGCCACAAGACAUGAAUCAUCAAAGAUAAAAGGUACAUCUUUAGCAAGUAGAUUGCAUAAGGGUCUAGAAACUUUGCUAAAAUCUUUGAUGAAACGUCUAUAAAAACUAGCAUGCCCAAGGAAAGAUCUUACUUCUCUUACUGUUUUGGGUGGAGGAAGAUUAUAAAUGAGAUCUACCUUGACUUUGUCAACCUCAAUACCUUUGCUUGAAAUGAUGUAACCGAGAAUAAUACAUUGUUUUACUAUAAAAUGACACUUCUCCCAAUUUAAGACUAAGUUCUUCUCAAUACAUCUCUGCAGAACUAGUGUUAGACGAUAUAAACAUUGAUCAAACGAGUCACCAAAGAGAGAAAAAUUAUCCAUAAACACUUCUAGGAAUCGUUCAACAAUAUUAGAAAAAAAUGCUUAAUAUACAUCGUUGAAAUAUAGUAGGUGCAUUACAUAAUCCAAAUGGCAUCCUCCUAUAUGCAAAAGUGCCAAAAGGGCAAGUGAAAGUGGUAUUUUCUUGAUCUUUUGGUGCUAUGUGAAUCUGAUUAUAUCAUGAGUAGCCAUUUAGGAAGCAAUAAAAUUCAUGACCUGCUAAUCUAUCAAGUAUUUGAUCGAUAAAUGGUAAAGGAAAAUGGUCUUUACGCGUGACAGAAUUCAACUUUCUAUAAUCAAUGCAUACACGACAUCUUGUAGUCACUCUAGUGGGUAUCAAUUCAUUAUCAGCAUUCGUAACUACUGUGACUUCUGACUUUUUGGGGACAACUUGUACAAGACUGGCCCAUAAACUAUCAGAAAUGGGGUAAAUGAUACUUGCAUCUAAUAGCUUAAGGACUUCAGUUCUAACAACUUCUUUCAUAUUAUGAUUUAACCGACGUUGCAUUUCUCUAGUAGGUUUAGUAUUUUCAUCAAGGUGAAGAUAAUGCAUGCAGUCUACUGGAUUUAUACAUUUUUUAUGUCAGCUAUGGUCCAUCCUAAUACUCCUUUGUGUUCUUUUAAAAUAUCCAACAACUUACCUUUUUGUUCGUCGUUUAGGGAUAAUGAGAUGAUUACCAGCAGAGUACUUUCUUCUCCCAAAAACACAUAUUCUAAAGUGUUGGGUAAUGAUUUGAGCUCGCGUUUCGGUGGUAAUUCUAAUGAUGGGAUGAGUUUCUUCUCUGAUGGUGCUAGUUGUUCAACUCUUGACUUCCAUUUAUUUGUGUCAAUGGAUUGUGCUAAGUCAAGUAGGGCGUUGAUCUCAUCGACCAAUCUGUCAAUAUCAAAAUCCAAACCAAAGUGAAUUAAGCAUGUUUGUAAAAGGUCAUCACUAAGGUUUGAAAGAAAAGUAUUAUCAACUAAUGUUUCUAUUAAAUCCACAUCAACAAUUCCAUAUCAAAAUCCAAACCAAAGUGAAUCAAAAUCCAAACCAAAGUGAAUUAAGCAUGUUUGUAAAAGGUCAUCACUAAGGUUUGAAAGAAAAGUAUUAUCAACUAAUGUUUCUAUUAAAUCCACAUCAACAAUUCCAUCAUCUGCAUUGUGAGGUUGUUUGGCAAUGUUGAAAAUGUUUAGCUCCAUAGUCAUGUUGCCAAAAGACAACUGCAUAUUUUAUGUUCUGCAUUGAAUGUGAGCAUCCGUAGUUGCCAAGAAAGGCCGGCCUAGGAUAAUGGGGAUGUGCUUCCUUGAAUCCUGGAUUGGUUAAGUGUCAAUUACAAUGAAAUCAACAGGAAAAUAAAACUUGUCUACCUGGACAAGCACAUCCUCCACAAUACCACGAGAUAUUUUUCUAGACCGAUCUGCAAGUUGUAACACCACUGGAGUUGGGUGUAAUUCUCCCAGUCCAAGUUUUAUAAAUAUUGAAUAAGGCAACAGAUUUACAUUAGCUCUUAAAUCUAACAAAGCAUUCUCAAUUAUGUGGUUUCCUAUGCUACAUGAGAUAGUGGGGGAGCCUGGGUCUUUGCAUUUUAGAGGAAUUUUGUGUUGGAGUAUAAAACUAACUUUUUCUGUUAAAAAAGCCUUCUUUUAAACAUGAAUGUUUCUCUUUUUAGUACAAAGGUCUUUAAGAAACUUGGCAUAAGAUGAAACUUGUUUUAUAGCAUCAAGCAAAGGGAUGUUAACACUUACCUGUUUGAAGAUUUCAAGAAUCUCACCGGCGGAUUUUCCUUUUUUUCCCUUAGCUAACCUAUGAGGAAAUGGAGAUUUCGGAACGUAUUCUCGUGGGUUGGUUUCUUCUUUCUCCUUCGGUGGUGAGUCUUUAACAUUUAUAGGUACAAUUUGAUUUGUUUUCGUCACCGACAUCUCUAUUUUGUUGUCGACUUCUUUUCCUUUUCGCAAGUUCAUGACAGCUUUGACCUCUCCGUGCUGCUGUGGUGAAUUAAUACUUGCUUCAUGUACUCUUUUAGGAUUAGGCACUGGUUGACUUGGAAACUUGUCUUUCUCAACAGUCAUUGUCAAAGUCCGAACUGAAGAAGCAAGUUGUCCUACCAUCUUCUCGAGGCUUGAAACUGAUUGGGCUUGUGAGUUGAAGACUGCUCUCAUCUCAUUUCGUAGUUCAACAAUGGUGCGGUUCUGUUGCUCGAUCGUAGAGUGAGUAAGAUUCUUGAGAUUCUGGAAUUAAUCCUCCCAUGGUCUGGGUUGAGAGUAGUUCUGGUUCUGAUAGUAUGGUCUAAAUGGGGGCUGAGAGGUUUGAGGAACUUGAGGAAUUGGUUGCAUUGGUGGAGCAAGAGCUGCUGGUCCAUUCUGUUGGAAUCCUUGAGACCAUGAAAAAUUGGGGUGGACUCUCCAUCCAGGGUUAUAUGUGUUAGAGUAUGGGUUGUAAUUUGAUGGUUUUGUCAUUACACCUAUGACAUUGUCUUGAUAUGAAUAUAAGUCAUGGUCAUGUGGUUUUGUUGAUUUAGCAAUCGUUAACGAUGCUAUUUUUUGAGAGACCUUCAACCAUUUCUUUGACUUCUUUAAUUUCUGAAGUUGACUCACCAACGUUAACCUCAUUCACUCCUUUAAUUCUUUUAGUAUUCCUGAGCGAUCGACUCCGUUAUUGGGAAUUAUCUGCUUGUCGCUGAAAGAAUUCACAAAUCUCUUAUCCACUUUUUGAUAUUAGCUCUCCUCCACUUGUUGCCAUUAGCCAUUCUUGCACAUGCGGCAAUAAUCCCUUCAAAAAGUAUUGGCAUUUGUGUCAUUUCUCGUACCCAUGAUGUGGACACUUCAAGAGUAGCUCAUUGAAUCACUCCCAUGUUUCGAAAAACUGCUCGUCUUCUCUCUGGGUAAACUCUGAGAUUUCCCUGUGAAUAACAUUGGUUUUAUGCACUGGGAAAUAUUUAUUCAAAGAUUUUGUUACCAUUUUUUCCUAUGAUGUAAUGCUAUUAGCAGGCAAUGUAUUGAGAUAUGAACGAGCUUUACCCUUUAAAGAAAAUGGGAAUAAUAUGAGUUUAACAUAAUCAUCUGAAAAAUUCUCAUAUUUAAAUGUUUGACAAACAGCAUGAAAAUCAUUCAAAUGAUUAUAUGGGUCCUCAUUUUCUAGGCCAUAGAAUGUUGGGAGACAAUUUAGCACACUAGGUUUUAAUUCAAAAUUCCUAGCAGCUACAUUUGGGUAUCUUAUGCAUAAUGUGCUCAAAUUAGCUAAGGGACUGAAAUAGUCCUUAAAUGGCCUCUCCUGUGGUCAUGGUUGUUGUUGCAAAUCUAUUUUUUUUAACGUAUUUGUGUGUGCGAAAUAUUUUUUCAAGUUCAAGGUCUAUAGGUUCAAGAUUAGGUAAUAAUGACUUUCGACCAUGCAUGUAAAGAACAAAAAAAUAAAUGGAAACAAAAUAAAUAAAAAUAAAAAUAAGGAGAAAUUACAAUACUAACCUUAUCACGCUGUUAAAAUCUUUCUAUAAAAAAACACUAAAAAAAUGUAUGAAAUAAAUUAAUAAGAUAACGAAAAAUUACAAAGAAAAAUAACUUGAAAAUUAAAUUACAAAAAUUUAAAGAAGAGAAAAAGAAAAGAAAUUCUUACCUCAAAAUGCAGAUUUACUCUUUUUUUUAAUAAGAAAAAAAUUACAAGAAAACAAUUAAAAGAAAUUAUUUGCAAAAAUUAAUUCUACAAAUUAAAAUAACUUACCUCCCCGGAAACGGCGCCAAAAACUUAUUGUGCCAAUUUUAUUAAACUCUCAAGCGCACGAAUCUAUUGUACCGUAUGCGCGAUUUUUGGUCCACUAACAUGCUGCCACGUCACCGAUCAAUAGUGCAUAAGAAUUUUCUCCAAUGGAAUCGUGACACCUCAUCAGUCAAUGCCACAUCAUCGGUCAAUUCCACGUCAUCGUUCCGUAUGUGUGAACAGUAACAUGGACAGUACCGUACAUGUGAAUAGUAUCAUGCAUGUGAACAGUGCCAUUUUUCUUUUUAUGCUCCUCCUAAAGUUUUCGGCUGUCCUGAGUUCAAAAGUCUGAGCUCUCGUUCUGUCGUCUGAGCUAUCGUUCAUUGUAAAAUGAUCAUGAUGCCCCUAAAAUAUAUAAAAUACUUAAUUAAAAUAAAGUACAUAUAAUUAAAUCACAAAAAGCUUAAAUACAUAAAAGUAAGAAUGUUAGUAAAACUUGAAGUAUAAAAUGACGAUUUUCUCCUUUAUAAAUAUACAUUUUCUAACACUCAACAGAAGGCAGAUAAUUCACAAUGGAUAUAGGUAGAGAAUAAGAAAUGGGGAGAAAAUUUCAGUGUACAGAGGCAACUGGAUUCCAAGACCAUCAACAUUCAAGCCUCUUUCUAGAAUAAAGAUGCUUCAAUGCUGGUAGAUAACGAAAAUAAUUGGAAGACAAAUCUGAUUCAGCAGAACUUUGUGAAGGAAGAUGCAGAAGCCAUUCUAAGCAUUCCCUUGCCUAGAAGACAAAGUGAAGAUAAAGUAAUCUGGCACUACGAUAAAAGAGGGAAAUAUAAAGUGAAAAGUGGAUACCAAGUGGCUCUAAAUUUAAAAUUUCCAGAUUCUCUUAAUUGCUCUAACAGUAGUAGUAGUAACUGGAGUUUUAUUUGAAAGCUCACUCUCCCGGCCAAAAUCAAGAUUUUCAUCUAGAGGGUAGUAAAAAAUUUAUUGCCCACAACUGAAAAUUUGUGGAAGUGAAAGAUUGUUCAUGAAGCCUAUUGCAAACGAUGUGGAAAUAGAGUGGAAAACACCAUGCAUGCUCUGAUUACUUGUAAAGCUGCAAAGAAAGUUUGACAACUCUCACCUCUGGCAAGUUCCUUUCAGGAAAUGGGAAAUCCUAAUAUUUUAGGAGACUUAAUGAGAUUACAGAAGAAGCUAAGUAGAGCUGACAUGGAAAUGAUGAUGAAUAUCCUUUGGGUGAUCUGGUAUGAUAGAAACCAAUUUGUUUGUGAAGAUUUGAAGUUAGACCAAGAUUAUCAAUGGCCAAAGCUAAAGCAAUUAAUAAGGCUUUCAGAAGAACUUAGUUUCCAGAGAUUACGAAUGAAGAAAAAUUACAGAAGACAAAGAAAACAGUUUGGACUCCCCUACCCCAUGGAUGGCUAAAGAUCAAUGUUGAUGCAGCUACUGAUUCAAAUAAGAGUUAUGCUGGAUUAGGUGCAAUAAUAAGAGACUCUACUGGAAAAUGCAUAGUUGUAGGCAUAAGAAAUGUAAAGUUCAGCGGAGAGGUGUCAAGUGUGGAGGCAGAAGCAGCUGAAUGGGGAGUGCAAAUAGCCCAUUAGAUGGGUAUGCAAUCAAUAAUUCUGGAAACAGACUCUCAAGAAGUAGUAGAUUCGAUAAACGAUAGAGAAAGGAGUUUAACAUAGAUAUGUUGGACUAUUUCAGAAAUUCAAAGCUUAAAGAAAACCUUCAGUUCUUUCGAAACAAAAUAUGUGCCCAGAGCUUGUAAUACUAGUGCCCAUCUUUUAGCUAAAAUAGCACUGGAAAAGUUGGAAUCUUUUGUAUGGGUGGAAAAUUUCUCACCUAAGAUUAGACAUGUAUUCACCGGGUUGAAGUAAUGAAAGCUUUACUUUUCCAUUAAAAAAAAAAAGUUCGUCUAGAAGGUUGACCUUGAUUGAUAGGGCAUGUGAUAUGCUAAAUCAUAUGAAGUUUUCUUGAUAUUGAAUUAUCAUGGAAAUGGUACAUGGUUUAUAGGGGAUGCUGGAAAUAUUUACAUUGAAAUUGAUAAGGAGACAUAAAAAAAAGGCUAUUAUUAAUGCAAUUUAUAGGUCUUCAACAAAUUAGAUCGACUUUAUUUAGUGUUUGCAUUUAACGUAAUAGACAAUGAAAUUAAUGAUCAGAAGUUUAAUAUGAUUGUAGAUGGCAGGUAAUCCACGAAUCUACAGUGAUUUUACAUGUUCUUGUUCGUUCUUUAUUUUUGUGUACAUAAAGCCUUCGAUAAAUGAUAGUGUAGAUUGCCGCACUUUUUUUUUACUGUAAUAAUCUACAGAAAUUUAUUGGGAUUUCAAGUUUUAUUUAAGAUUCGUUAAAAAAUAUACUACCGCUAACAACAUUUGAAGAUAAAUAUACCCUUAUCUUUAAUUUUGUGAAAAGGAAAAAAAACCCUAAAAAAGGUAAAUUCACGAAGUUUUAUUGAGUUGUCUCUUAGAUUUUUAUGGACAUAUUCCUUCAUAAUUUUGAAAAUUCUUCUUUCAAGAUACAAAAGAUAUUCUAAAAUUUAGAUUCAAUUAGUAUGAUUGUUCGGAUCUGUUAGACCUUGAUCAAAUUAAAUCAACCAAGAUUCCCAAGAUUUAUCUAAACACUCUUAUGCUUGAUUAAGAAAUACUUAAGCAAUAAUAAAAGAUACACAAAAGGAACUAAAGAACAGCAACCAACGAAAAAAACAGAUUUAAGUGGUUCAGCCUGGAGUUGGCUUACAUCCACUGAAGAACAGAGCAACAAUCUUUAUUCAAUCACCAGGAACAAGAUACAAGUCUUUAGAUGAAGUUACAAGCAUCACACACCCUGAUUCCACAUUAUUUAAGGCUGUAUAUACAUGCUUAAGUGAGCCCAGAAAUUACCCCCACCAGUCAGCUCUCCUCUGUCAAUAAAAACCAGAUCUUCCCGCUCUUGUAACAGAACAUAACGACCUUCAGAGCCACGUGUUUGCUUCACGUUGAAUGAAGGCUCCAAAACGGCACUCAGCAAAGUCGUAUUGAAUAAGUGUAAGCAUGUGACGACCACGUGCUUGACUUAUUCGCAUAUAGAUGAACAAACAGCUUUGUCGUAUGGCUUUGCAUGAUCUUAGCCGACCAGUCGUAUUCUGUACCAAUCAUGAACUGACAUGUCAUAUGAGUCUCUGGAAAUCAGUUUCACAGCUCACACUUCAACAUUCUCCACCUUGAGCUUGAAACCCUCAUGAACCUGUUAUUCUUCUCUUCAACUAUCUGUCACUUAAUUCUGACAGAUCCCUGCUAAAUCUAAGUAAAGCUUAAACUUAGCUCUAAUAACUGGUUUAGUCAGCUUAUCUGCAACAUUCUUGUCUGUAUGAAUCUUCUGCAACUUCACUGUUACUUUCAACACUUCUAGUUUUAUGAAAUGCAACUUGAUAUCGAUGUGCUUGGUCUUUUCAUGAUGUGUCUGAUUUUUGCUCAGACAUAUAGCACUUUAGCUGUCAAAGUUUAUCAUUAUCGACCUCUGGUCAACACCAAGUUCUUUAAGGAUUCCUUUCAGCCAGAUGACUUCUUUGACUGCUUCUGCAGUAGCUGUGUAUUCAACUUCUAUGGUUGAAAGUGCCACAACACUCUACAGUUGAGCUUUCCAAUUGACAGUACAGUUGUUGAGUGUGAAGAGAUAUCCUGUAAGUGAUCUUCUUCUAUCCAGAUCCCUAGCAUAAUCAGAGUCCACAUAACCAACAAUCUAACUGUCAUCUUGUCUCUGUCCUCCAUACAUUAACCCAUAUGUUGCUGUCCCAUUUAGGUACCUGAGAAUCCAUUUUACAGCCCUCUAGUGUUCCUUUCCAGGGUUUGUCAUAUACCUGCUUACAACACUCACAGCAUAGGAUAAAUCAGGCCUAGUUAGGAUCAUAGCAUACAUCAAGCAACCUACAACACUUGCAUAAGGUAUAUUUAUCAUCUCAGAUAUUUCAGCUUCUGUUUUUUGACACAACUGAUCUGAUAAUCUGAAAUGAGGGGCUAAGGGUGUUUGAACUGGCUUUGAGUUUCCCAUUCCAAACUUGUCAAUUACCCUUCUGAUGUAUUCUUCCUGACUGAGAAACAAAGUGCCAGCUUUUCUAUCCAUGUGUAGCUGCAUUCCCAGAAUUUUCUUUGCUGGACCAAGAUCCUUCAUGUCAAAUUCUCCUUUAAGCUUCUGUUUCAGGUUUUCAAUUAAGCUCAUGCUUACACUGGCAAUAAACAUGUCAUCUACAUACAAUACCAGAUAAACCAUCAUGCCUGAAUCUUCUCUGAAGUAAACACAACAGUCUAAGUUACACCUUUGAAAUUUCUGCUCUAACAUAAAGCUAUCAAACCUGAGGUACCACUGUCUUGGGGACUGUUUAAGUCCAUAGAGAGACUUCUUCAGAUAACAAACCCAAUCAGCCUUUGAUUUGACUGUGAAUCCUUCAGGCUGAGCCAUUACUAUGUACUCUUGUAAUUCCCUAUGUAAGAAUGUUGUUUUUACAUCUAUUUGUUCCAAAUGCAUGUUGUUUACAGCCACCAGUGACAAGAUGAUUCUUAUAGAGGCAUGCCUCACUACAGGUGAAAAUACCUCAGUAAAGUCAAUCCCCUCCUUUUGAGUGAAGCCCUUUGCAACAAGUCUGGCUUUGAAUCUCACUGGUUCCACUCCUGUGAUACCUUGCUUGAGUUUGUACACCCAUUUGCAUCCUACCACCUUUUUCUUGUCUGGUUUUUUCACAAGUGUCCAGGUGUCAUUCUUAUACAAAGAAUCCAUUUCUUCCUUCAUGGCUUUCAACCACUGGUCUGUAUUUUUCCCUGAAACAGCUUCCUUGUAGGUUUUAGGUUCAUCAUAAUCCAGUUCAUGAGCUGCUGUUAAUGCAUAUAUAAUCAGAUCUGCAUAUGCAUACUUCUUUGGUGCCCUUAUCUCUCUCCUUUCUCUAUCCCUGGCCAGCUGAUAAUCAUGCAAUGUUGUUUGUUUUUCUGAAAUUUCAUCAGAAUCUUCUGCAUCUCUUUCCUCAUCUUCUGAUGUCUCAUAUGAAGUUGUAUCUCCAGAUUUCCAGUAAGCUCCACCUUAAUCUGAUCUCUCAGUACACCAGUGUUUUUGUCUGAGUUUUCAAGCUUCUGCAUAUAGCUCUUAAGCAUUUCCUGUUCAUUGAAAAUCACAUCUCUACUGACUAUGCACCUGGGUGGUUUAAGAUCAGUACACCAUAGCCUAUAGCCCUUCACACCCUCAGGAUAUCCAAGGAAGACACAUUUCAGAGCCCUAGGCUCAAGCUUUCCUUGCUUUACAUGUGCAAAUGAUGGGCAGCCAAAUAUCUUCAAAUCAGAAUAGUUAGCAGCUCUGCCUGACCACAUUUCUAUAGGUGUUUUAAAGUCUAUGCCACUGGAUGGACUUCUAUUGACUAAAUAGCAAGCUAUCAUAAGUGUCUCAGCCCAUAAGGAUUAAGGAAGUUUUGAGUGAAUUAGCAGACAUCUUACUUUGUCCAUGAGAGUCCUAUUCAUCCUCUCAGCAAGUCCAUUUUGCUGUGGAGUAGGUCUUACUGUCUUGUGUCUUACAACUCCAUUCUGAGCACAGAAAUCAUUGAAUUGUUAAUUGCAAAAUUCUAAACCAUUAUUAGUCCUUAGCCUCUUGACUUUUCUACCUGUUUGUGUUUCUACCAGUGCUUUCCACUGCUUAAACUUCUCAAAGGCUUCAUUUUUACUCUUUAAGAGAUACACCCAAACCAUUCUAGAAUAGUCAUCAAUCAAGGAUAGGAAAUAUUUAGCUCCACCUAAAGAAGUUGUCUGUGCUGGUCCCCACAGAUCAGAGUGGAUGUAAUCUAAGGUUCCUUUGGUCUUAUGCACUGCAGUUUUGAAGCUAGUUCUAGAGGAUUUUCCUAGGACACAUACCUCACAAAACUCAACAGAACUUAUCUUAUCAUCCCUCAAGACUCCCUGUUUUUUUAAUAUCUUCAUCCCCCUUUCACUCAUAUGCCCCAAUCUCAUGUGCCACAUUAGUGUUUUGUUUGGAUUCUUACUGGUUGAGACACUAACAUCCCCUGUAAUGGUUGUCCCUUGCAGCACAUACAAGCCAUUAUUUUUGGCCCCCUUCAUUAUCACCAUGGACCCUCUAAUUAUCUUCAUAAUCCCAGAUUCCAUUUUAAUGAUGCAGCCUAUUUGAUCAAGGAUUCCUAGUGAUAUUAAGUUUCUUUUUAGCUCAUGAACAUGUCUUACUUCACUUAAUUCCCUAAUCACCCCAUCAAACAUUUUAAGCCUAAUGGUUCCAAGUCCAACCACUUUACAAAGUGAGUUGUUUCCCAUCAUAACUUCCCCACCAUUAAAAAAUCUAUAACUGGAAAAAAGAUUUCUAUCAGGGCACAUGUGAUAAGUGCAUCCAGAAUCCAACACCCACUUACCAUUGGUUUGAGUUCCAGUGACUAGAAGAACACCAGCUGAGUCAUAGCCUUCAUCAUCCUUUUCUUCUGAUGCAACAACAACAUCUCUAUUCUUCUUGGGUCCAUCUUUUUUCUUGUUCUUUCUCUCUAGACAGUCUUUCUUGAAAUGUCCCUCUUUGUGGCACUGGAAACAUUUCAGACUGUUAUUCUUUGACUUUGAUUUGCUGUGUUUCUAUUCUUGUUACUAUAAUCCUUCUUCUCUGGUCUACCCCUUGCUGUCAAGCCUUCACCAUCUUUUACUUCUGACUUCCUUAUGACCUCUUUUGAACUGAGAGAGUCUUUCACAUCAGCCAUGGUUAUUGACUGCCUUCCAUAUAGUAAAGUGUCCACGAAAUGUUCAUAGGAAGGUGGGAGAGAUGAUAACAAGAUUAUUGCCUUUCCUUUAUCUUCCAGUUUCACAUUGAUAUCUUCAAGAUCAAGAAUGAUUCUGUUGAAGUUAUCAAUGUGAUUUGCCAGAGAGCUACCCUCCUCCAUCUGCAAUGUAUACGGCCUCUUCUUGGUGCAAAGUCUCUUGGUUAGAGACUUUUUCGUAUAGAGAUCUUCUAAUUUCUUCCAGAGGCCUGCAGCAGUUGUUUGAUCCCCAACUUCCCUCAGAACUCCAUCACCCAGACUCAAGAUUAAGGUGCUAUGAGCCUUGUCUAAUGCAUCUUGCAUUUCUUCUCCACUGAGCUUGCUGGGCUUCUUUUCAGAUCUUGGAUCCCCCAGUGUUUCUUCAAGCCCUUGAUGGACCAACAAUGCUCUCAUCUUGAGCCGCCAUAAAUGGAAGUCAUUCUCUCUUGUAAAUUUCUCUACUUGAAACUUAGAGGUUGCCAUUUCUUGGAUAAAAAAUCAGAGUUGUUGGGCUCUGAUACCAAUUUGUUAGACCUUGAUCGAAUUAAAUCAACCAAGAUUCCCAAGAUUUAUCUAAACACUCUGAUGCUUGAUUAAGAAAUACUUAAGCAAUAAUAAAAGAUACACAAAAGGAACUAAAGAACAGCAACCAACAAAAAAAACAGAUUUAAGUGGUUCAGCUUGGAGUUGGCUUGCAUCCUCUGAAGAACAGAGCAACAAUCUUUAUUCAAUCACCAGGAACAAGAUACAAGUCUUUAGAUGAAGUUACAAGCAUCACACACCCUGAUUCCACAUCAUUUAAGGCUGUAUAUACAUGCUUAAGUGAGCCCAGAAAUUACCCCCACCAGUCAGCUCUCCUCUGUCAAUAAAAACCAGAUCUUCCUGCUCUUGUAACAGAACAUAACGACCUUCAGAGCCACGUGUUUGCUUCACGUUGAAUGAAGGCUCCAAAACGGCACUCAGCAAAGUCGUAUUGAAUAAGUGUAAGCAUGUGACGACCACGUGCUUGACUUAUUCGCAUAUGGAUGAACAAACAGCUUUGUCGUAUGGCUUUGCAUGAUCUUAGCCGACCAGUCGUAUUCUGUACCAAUCAUGAACUGACAUGUCGUAUGAGUCUCUGGAAAUCAGUUUCACAGCUCACACUUCAACAUGAUCUUUUCUUCUUAAUUAGCAGUCUUUUUUUUUUCAAUCGCUAUAUAUAUGUUUCUUUAAUGGUUAAUGCUCACUAUGUUCCCUAGGCUGUAUUUAGGUUCCUUUCACGAAUGCUUAAAAAAUCAGCGAGAGAAUCUUUGAGGUUUGUAUAAUUGUAUUCCUUUUCCUUCUUUCUUUGCUUCUUAUUCAUUGUGCUUUCAUAUUUCAAUGUUAGGCUGAAUUUAAGAAUGACAAACAAGCCCAACCCGUCUCUUGGCCCAAUUGAUCCAACCCUUAGUUUGAAGGGGUAGAGUUUUUUAAAGGCAGGAGCCCUCCGACGCUGAGCCUCAACGAGAAAGUUAACAAUGAAAAGAAGUUCAGUAAUCUUGCCAUCAUUCGUUUGGAUGUUAGUUCAAGAUUAUAACGAACAACAAUAACAACAAAUGUGAGGACUGAUAUUCUUAAUAAGACCAUCAAAAUAUCUCAAUCAACAGGAAUAGUGAGCAUUUCCUUGUAAAAUAGAAAGAAAGCUAUGACAGCGCGCGAAACAAGAAUUGCACGAAAAAUAAAAUAGAACAAAGCAAGAGUCCUUAGCGUCAUAAGAGGGAAGCCUAGAAAUAUCUGAAGGCGGAGAGUCCCACAAAACAAAAUCAUGUUAUAUUUGUACGUUCGCAAACCGUCUUAUUAGGAAUAUUCUUGAUUAAUGUUUCUUUACGUGGGUUUCAAUUAUCUUAGUUUAUGGUUUAUAAAAAAAGGGGUAGUUAAUAAUAUUCUUAACUACCGAGUACUGAUCAUAAUAAGUUGUGAAUAGAAUCGUUUUUGAUGAGUUUUGUAGGCUGUCUGCGGUGCACGGUUUCAUUAUUUGAUGAGUAAAAGUAAGGGUUUAUUUUUUUUUAUGUCUAAAGUCUUAAUUUGACUUGAUUUAAGAUGUUUUGGUAUUUUAGCUUGUUUGGUUUUGUAUCUAAAGUCUUAUUAUAAGAUAUUUUCAUUUGAAUGGAAAAAAUAAAAUUUUUUAAUUUUUAUCUGAAUGAGAAAUUAUUUUUUUUCUCACAAGUACUCUCAUCAAAUGAAUUUAUUUUCUACCUAACUAUUAUGUAAAACCUAAUAAUCAUUUGAUUUCUUUUAAUCGAAAGAAUUUUUUUUUAAUUAACUGUCUAUAACAUAAUUUAGAUGUCAUAUUAGAAUUUCUCUUGACCUCAACUUUUGCUUAGUAUUAAUUACUUAACAUGCAUUCAAUAUGUGCAAAUUCUUUUAUUAUUAGAUAACAAUUUUUUUUACUGUAUAAAUACUAUGUUAAUUUGUAAAAAAUAAUGUUAUCAAAAUUAUUUUUCAUAAAUUAUAUAUCAAAUGUUUACCUUAUAAAUAUUUAUAACAUAUAAAUACUAUUGUACUAAAUAACAUUGCAAGUAUAUACCUAUUUAAAUUAACUAAAUAUAAAUAACACUUUCAAGGUCAUAAGUAUAAAAGUAUUAUAUUUAAGAUGUUUUGAGUGUAUAAAACUUAUCACUUACAGUUAGACAUUAAAAAAAAAAAAAAAUUAUCAUUCAAACAUAUGCUUUCAGACCCAUUUAGAUUUAUAAAAAAAAAAAAAGAAGGCUACAUAAGAUUAUCUAAAUCAUGAAUAUAUAGUCAAAAAAAAUUAUUUUCGUAUUUUUUUUAUUUUUUUAAAUAUAGAGUGGUGGGGCAUUUGAACUUACAAAAUAUACAACAGCCACAAAUUUAAACAAAAUUUUUGCCUUCAAAUCAGAGAAGGAUGAAGCUAGCUGAAGAUUAGAUAAAACGAAUAAUUAAUUUCUUUUAUAAUCUUUUCUCUAAUUUAAUGUUUAUCUUUACUCUCACUGUUCUUUCCAUUGACAACUUGGUAUGUUCUUCUUCUUUAAUAAUAUUAUUUCUCUCUCAAAAAUUUGAACUUGAAUGAUUAGUUAAAUAAACCUAUUUAAAAAUUACAUUCGAACUUGCAGUAUUAUAUGUUUUUUUUUUUUUUGCAAUAAUAGUUUGAUAAUUUUAACAGCAAUUAGUUUGAAGUCAUGUCAGACGAAGUAAAGCCUCUCUCUUCAUUACGUUUAUCGAAUGUUUUGCAUUCAUGCAGUAUCGAUCGCGAUCGACCCAGACACUAGUGUUGUAUAAAAGAUUCUCUUUUUAUUAUUAUUAUUUUAAAAAUUUUUUUUUUUUUUUUUUUUUUUUUUUUUUUAUGUGUAUAAAAGAUUCUCUUACAACCACAUAACUAAUAACGUCGUUUUGGUCAAAGUAAGUCAAUAACUAACUCUCUUUAAGGCAGGUUUGUGAAAUUUGUCACAUAUUUAUUGAGGAAGCAAAUAUCCGUGACAGCCACAACACAAAAGCACAGGAGACUCGAGCAAAAACGUCUUGGUCUUUUUAUAAAAAAAUAAAAAAUAAAGUCUUGGUCUCGGUCAUUUCACUUGUGGAUCCCUAUAAAGCCAAAACGAUUGUUUCUCUCUUCUGCAAGAGACUGAAAAAAUGGCUGUCGGUAAAGAUGACGUAGAGAUUAUAAAGCCACGUACGGACAAGAGACAGUACCGGAGACUCGUCCUUAAAAACUCUCUUCAUGUCCUUUUGAUCAGCGAUCCUGAUGCCGAUAAGGUAACCAGCAAGACCCAAAUUUUUAAAAUUUUUUUUUCAGUUUAAUUUAAGCUAGUAAUCUUGUGGGUUUGGUUUGUUUUAUUGUUUUUGCUUCAGUGUGCUGCUUCAAUGAAUGUCAGCGUUGGCGCCUUUUGUGACCCUGUUGGUCUCGAGGGCCUUGCCCAUUUUCUCGGUAUAUUUAAUGUAUCUUGUGGCAAAUUUGAAUUCGUGAUUUGGGAAAUUUUAGUCUUGUAUGAAUGUAAAUUGUAGAAGUUACUUAAAAAAAAAAAGGGGAUGGGUUUUUGUGAGAUGACUCUAAACGUGUUUUCGGCUGAUCACAGAUUAAAAUACAAUGUGUUGCUCAUAUUGAAAUUAGAGUAGAAAGAGUUAAACAGAAUUAGAAGUUUCACUUGUACUUUCUUUUUGGUUCAAGUAUUUCUUCAUUGUAUGUUCAGGCUUGUUUAUUUCCUGUUAAAGUUAUAGCAUUGUUUCAUUCUCGGUUCUUUCAUCUCUUCCUAAUUUGCCUACUUUCUUUUCCCUUUUCACUGUUUGCUAUUGUCAUUGAUAUUUUUUUUUUUUUUGAAUUCUGUUGUGUGGUGAUUUAUUGGAUGAUUCUUUUACUCUCCUAUUCUACAUUAUUAUUGCUUUUAGCUGUAGUUAGAUAAUUAUAUGGCUGUAGGGGACAAUUUCUGUGGCCUGUUUAAUGAGUUCGAGUAUUUAUAACUUGCUUUAGUUACUGUUUUCCUGUUUCUUUAAUGUGCAGAGCAUAUGCUGUUUUAUGCUAGUGAGAAAUAUCCAGUGGAGGAUAGCUAUUUAAAGUACAUAUCAGAGGUAUUGGCCCUCAAUAAUGUCCUGUUUCACUUAUUUCUAGUAUGUUUUCUUAAGUAAAAGUUUCAGAGAAUCAUGCUUUAUGCUUAAUCUUGCUCUUUGAUACUAAUAAUAGACUUUAACUAGAAGUGGAUGGAGUUGGCGAGAUACACAGACAAGGAAAAAAAUUUUGAAUGCUAUUCCCUUGGAAUAUAACUGACUAAAAAGACACAUUUUCCCUCCAGAGGAAAAUCUUAACUUUUUUGUUAAUCAGGUGUUUGUAAAAACAAAAUCGUGAAGCAAAUUCUUCACUUGAUUUGUAGGGCUGAUGGGAGUUUUAGUUUUAAUUACAUUCCUCUAUUUUCCUGCAAGCCAUUGCGGUCAGAUUGUAUCUUAGUGAUUGGAAGUGGAAAAGGUAUUCUUGUUUAAAUUUACAGCCAUGGAUUGUUCUAUUGUGGAAUGGGGUGAUGACUCCAUUUAUGUUCUUUUCUCUGUGGAGCUGACCCAUAACCGGAUUGGAUUUAGAUGUAGUCAGUUUAUUCAACAAGGGUUUAGAAAGUUCGCUGGCACGGUGGUCUAUCAAUUUCUUGUGAUAUGAUUUGAUAAUGUUUGGUAAUGUAGUCGAAAAAAAUACUUUAAUUGUCAAUAUGUAUUCUUACCGUUCUAAGUGAUGCUGUGGACUUUCCAUGCAUUGACUGAUGUAUGCUGGAGUGAAAAAUUAUGAAUUACAUUGUGAACAUGAUCCUCUCAAGCUGUCUUUUGAUACUUGAGACAACUUGUGCCAGAAAUUUCCUUUUUACUUUAGAUUUUAUGUCUUUAGGUUACUGAUCUUGCAUAGUGUCAGGGUGAUGAUUUAGAUAAUAUUGCAAUAGUGAAUAAUGACCACAGCCUUACUACGGGUUGUUGAAAGCACAUCCUAAGACUAGUUGUGAUUCCACAUCCUAUCUUUGCUUAUGUCUUCUAGUAGAGUCAUUGGGUGGUGGUUUGGUAUUGUUUAUGGUUAAUGUUGAUCUUAAAUACAGUUUGAGACAUGUGAAGAGGAAUCUGGAGUCUGAAAUUUGUUUUUAUUUUUAAGUUUGAUAUAUAAUUUAUUGGGGCAGCAACUCUAGAGACCUUGUAGGAAAGAUGGUUUGUGGGUGAUUAUUAUGGCACUGCAAUCUUCUUUACGGGAUAAAGGAAUACCUCCUACCUAGGUCCUUGGUACAGGUGUCCUGUUUUGAUUGGCGCAUUCAUAUUUUGGUAGCAGAAGUACUGAAGUAUGUCUUUCAUGUAGUUUUGCUUCCCUGUCUUGAGCUUUAUUUGCAUUAUUUAUAGAAAUCUGGUUCGCUCCAGAGAUUGAUCAUUUCCUUUUUAAUUUGGCCCCCUGUGUAUGGGUGGUAUCACUGGUAUGUUCCUUGAUGUGUCUGUUUGGAGAGUGCACUUUUUGUUCUCUUUUAAGGAUUAUCUUGGGAAUUCUUUUGGGGUAGAAACUAGGGUGUCAUUACACAACUGAGCACAUACAUUUUAGGUUGUGUGAUCAAGUGAUAAAUACAAACUGCUCUCUGCUUUAUUUCUUGAUUAAUCCCUGUAAGUACGCCGAGCAAGGUGUUGUUCUAAUUUUCACCGCGGAUUAAUUUUCUUAUGCACAGCAUGGAGGAAUGGCAAAUGCGUUUACAUCUUCUGAGCAUACAAACUACUACUUUGAUGUAAACCCUGACUCCUUUGAAGAAGCUUUGGACAGGUACAUGCCAUUUUUCAUUUUUCUUAAGUAUCAAAUCUUUCAGUACUUGAGUUUUUGAGUCUGAGUCUUUCCUGUGAUUUACUGCACAGAUUUGCACAGUUCUUUAUUAAACCGUUGAUGUCAGCUGAUGCUACCAUGAGGGAGAUUAAAGCAGUUGAUUCUGGUUAGUUGUUCAUUGUAGAGUCUAGCGCAUUAAUGUACUUUCAGAAUCAUGUUUCAUUAUCAUUAAUUCAGUUCCGCUUUCCUUCCUCCUCCCUCGCUUGUAUCCAGAGAACCAGAAAAACUUGUUGUCUGAUGUUUGGAGAUUAAACCAGGUAUUGCUUACUUCCAUUAAUUUAAUAUUUGGAGAUGAUUUUUCCUUGGGUUUCUAUUUUCUAAGUUAUAUCAUUAUAUCAUUUGUUAUCAUUCACAAGAGAUCUUGGACUCCAUUGCUGAGCCUGAGUAUCAGUUUUGAAGUGAAAGUUCUCCUUCAUAAAGCUUUAUUUUAUUGCUGCAACUUGUGUAUCUUUUUUUUUUUCCCUUUUUUCUGGUUGCUAUCCUAUGUUCUUUGGUAUAAGAAGUGCUCCAUUGAACUGAAAAAAAACCUGAACAUGCACAGACAUCUGACCUUUGGCCAUUAUUUGAAUAGAUUGAGAUAUAAUUUGCUAAAAUUGAUAUUCCUUGGUUGAACUCGUAACACAAUAAAAUUUGGUAAGAAGAAAUAAAUUAUUAUAAGCUGGUGUUUUAUGGCACAAGGGUAUUGGGGAUUGUGUAGGUCUUGUUCUCUUACAAUGCCUUUUGAUUGGUGUUCUAUGGAAUAUGGUCUAUCAUUCUUCAUAGCUUAGUGUUUUAGGUUCACGACAAUUUUAGCAGUGCUGAUUAGUUGGAAAAUGGAUGAGUGGUAAUGGACUUAGCUUGAUUUGGGGUCUUUAUGUUGUACUCGUCUGCCAAAAAAUCAUUUUCACUCGUCCUAUUAUGGAAUUUUAAGAGAGCUUAAGCACUAGGCUUUAGUUUGGUUCUGUUUUGGUGUUUCUUAUAUAUUUCCCUUGUACCACGGUUGCUCCACAAUUUUGGUACUGCUUGUGUAAUAAAUUUGUUACGUAUAAAUAGAAAAAGAAUAGGGCUUUUGAUAAUUGGCCUGUAAAGUGCUUAUUGAUUGUUAGGUGCCGAUAUUAUGGUACAAAGGGUGGCUUAAGAGUUGAAAUUAUGUGUAGAAUUUUGAAUUUUGAAAGGAUAUUGGUCAGGGUAGCAUUUGAGGCCAAAAUAUCAGGUUAAGAUAGUGUUGCAUGAGCUACUUUUACUUGGAUGGGAACAGUAAUCCAAGAAAGAUGAAUAAAUAGAUGUAUUCAUCACAUGUAAUGUAUGGUGCCUCAGCAUCAAUUUUUUCCCAUACACUUAUAUCACACGAUUCUAAGGAGUGCAACUGAUCUUCAUUUAAAAGCGUUUGGCUGGAAUGUAUGAGACUUGCCAGUUUUCCUGAAGUCGCCAAAGGGUUGAAAUUCUAAAUAGGAAACUGCAAAUACUAAUGAUGUGGCCCCAAAAUAAAAAAAUAAUUAAUUAAUUUAAAAAAAAAAGAAAAAACCACAGAGGACCUCAUGCAAAAGCCAAUCAGGACAGUUAUAAUAGAGAAGGACUGAUGUUCUGUUGUGAGGCCUAUUCAAUCAAACCUAGAUAUUAACUCCUAAAAUAUAAGCAAGCUAAAAUAAUGCCAAGUGAUUGGAUUUCUGUUGUUAAGCUUAACAUUGAAAUAAGGCUAAAUGGGAAUUAUUGCCAAGUAUCAAAUUUAUAUAUAGGUCCCACAUAAUUUUAGAUCAAAUUUUGUAGAAUUCGUUUAUUUUCGAAGGCCUGUUUUACAACCUUUGAAACUUCCUUGGAGAAGAAAAGAUUCCAUCUAGAUCUUUGCAUUGGUACCAAGAGAUUUUACUAAGCAAGUAUCUUGUUUUUGUUGUUGUUGUUCUUUUUCCCCCUUUUUAAUGAGAAAUAAGAAAGUAAUUUAUCUUCAUUGAUGUUGUCAUCAUUAUUGCUUUUAACAAUUAGCAUCAUCAUCAAUCGACCUAAAAGUUUAUGCUAAUAGAUUAGUCAACUAUAGCCUUAACAGGCCAUCUGGAUUUUAUCAACUAUAGUAUUAACAGACCCUCUGAAUUUUAUUAACAGCCUUGUCAUGUGGAUCAAGCUAAAAUAGAAACUAACUUAGAUGCAGAUGAUAAUGCAAAUGCAAAUACAAAUCUGAAUGCAAUUAUAUGGGAGGUUUCAAAUAUAAGACCUCUUGGUCAAAUUAAUGUUCAUAUCAUAUUAAUUUUUUGUUUGGCUUAAAAGCAUAAAUUAUAAAGCUGGUCCUGACGAUUGUAUUUGAGUUCCAGCAAGUUAAUUAUGAUUAAGUUGUUAUAUCUUUUGACCAUAGUAGUAGUUUUGGUAGUGUUUCUGUGAGAAAUGACUACCUUUAUGUUUUUUUUUUUUUUUAAAUUUGUACAGCUGCGGAAACAUCUAAGUUCAGAAGAUCAUCCAUAUCAUAAGUUUAGCACACUGCCUUAGCCCUGUCCUAUCAUCUGUAUCAUGGGGUUCGUCAUUUAUUGACGGAUUUUUCGGGAUUUCUCUUUCUUAGAAUUGGAAGAAAAAGAUUGAAAUGAUUAUGAUUGUUCAAAAUUUCACCUAUACCUUUGACUUUGAGAUUCAAAAAAAAAAUUUUCAUUUUCUUAUUAAAUUUUACGUUGAUAGCUCUCUUCUUUAAAGCUUAUGCUGUAGAAGCUGACAUCGGGCUAUUGGCGUUUUAUCUGCAUCUUCCCGAACAAGACCCAGAAGGGCUUCGCUUUGUUUGGGAUGAACUCGCAAGGAGUCGACCCGAGGACUUCCCUCGUAGAGUGGCGUCUUUUAGAAUUAUAAGACAAGACUCUUUUUUCUUAGUGAAACUAAAAAAAAAGAGUUUGAGCUCUUUUGGUUUACCUGCUGUACGGCCAAGGCGGAUGUACGGUACAGCAGUAAAUUCAGCGAUCUUGCCAUCAUUCGUUUGGAUGUUAGUUCAAGAUUAUAACGAACAACAAUAACAACAAAUGUGAGGACUGAUAUUCUUAAUAAGACCAUCAAAAUAUCUCAAUCAACAGGAAUAGUGAGCAUUUCCUUGUAAAAUAGAAAGAAAGCUAUGACAGCGCGCGAAACAAGAAUUGAACGAAAAAUAAAAUAGAACAAAGCAAGAGUUAGUGAAAACAACAAUUCGGAAAGUCCUAAAUAUCUGAAGGCGGAGAGCCCCACAAAACAAAAUCAUGUUAUAUUUGUACGUUCGCAAACCGUCUUAUUAGGAAUAUUCUUGAUUAAUGUUUCUUUACGUGGGUUUCAAUUAUCUUAGUUUAUGGUUUAUAAAAAAGGGGUAGUUAACAAUAUUCUUAACUACCGAGUACUGAUCAUGAUAAGUUGCUUGUGAAUAGAAUCGUAUUUGAUGAGUUUUAUAGGCUAUGUCUGCGGUGCACGGUUUCAUUAUAUGAUUUUGCUAUUACCGAAAAAAUAUAAUGUCACUAGAUAUCAAAUGAUAUCUAUUAUCUAUGUAAGAAGUCAAUUUGAUAUAUGAUAAAUAUAUCAAUGAUUUAUCUUACAAUAUAUUCAGAAUCAGUUCAUUUACACAAAUUGUCAAAAUGGAAUUUUGCUAUAAAAGUAAUGCUUAAAUCGUAAACGAAUGAUCAAUCAGAGUAUAUGAUUAAUUAGCGCAUGCAUAAUUUGUGUAUUGUUCAUUGAGAGCUCAUUUUAUGCGACAAUAUAUUUGAUGUUUCUACAAUGAGUAGUGUAUAUAUAAAGCUAACUCGCUUCGUUGAGAUCAUUCAAAAAAAUUAAAAAUUAAAAUAUUAAAAAGUGUAUAUAUAAAGCAGUAGCUGGGUAUUGUUGUGGAUUAGGAUGAGACCACAUAGAUUAUAAAUGAACGGCAUAUUUUCAUUAUAGCCUUAAUUAAGUUCUCUUUCAUUUUUUUUUUCUAAUUAACAAAAUAUCAUUUAAACUUAUAAAAUAUUUGAGGAAAUUAAAGUUAUAUUGUUUUAGAAGUUUGUGUGUGUGGUUCAUGCCAAAAGCUUCCAAGCGUAAAUAAAUAUGAAGGCAAUCAAUUUGUGCCGCAGUGUUUAAAGAUAGUCAAGGUUACUUUUGAAUAGACAUUUCAGCCAACGUCAGAUUUCAUGAUGCCUAUCUACUACAAGAAGACGAUGGAAUCACUGAUGCCUUAAAAGUGAUUCGACGACUGCCUAAAGUGAUUCGACGACUGCCUUGUGGCGCUUAAGUAACGAACUCUCUUAAUCUUUCAACAGAAUUGAAAAAUAAGUACCUGGAUUUGAAGACCAACAUGAAUUGGAGCCAUGCAUGAGAUCAUUCAAUUCACAAAUUUUUAGAGAAGAGAAUGUUGCGCAAGAUUUAACGACUAAUAUGAAUUUGUGUUGUUCUAAUUUGACAUGAUGGAAUUGCGAAGAUCUUGAAAAAUUGAAUAACACUUUAUGAUAAUUUAUAAAUUAACCGUAAUACACAUUUAGAUUGAGAUAUUCUUUUGCAAUAAAGUAAGGAAGAGCUGCAUUCCAGACGUUAAUCUUAGCUGCCUAUACCACCACUGCUCGACAACACGAAUGUUUAUGUUAUAAAACAUGUGUAUAAAAUUAUUUAAUUAGUGAUUAAUUAUCUUAUAUAUUAGAUAAAACAAAGUGUACAUACUCUUAAGAAAGUUUGUACAAUAUAAGUCAUCACUUUAUAUUAUUUAGCAUAAUAACUUACCAAAGUUUAGUAAAAGGUUAAAAGUAUUACGGUUAAGACAUACUAAACAAAAAAAAAAAAAAAUGAAUAUGCUAAUAUAAUUAAUCUAAAGUAAAAGUAAAGUGUUUACUUGUUUAUGUCUAAAGUCUUAAUUUAGCUUGAUUUAAGAGGUUUUGAUAUUUUGGCUUGUUUGGUCUUGUAUCUCAAGUUUUAUUAUAAGAUAUUUUCAUUUGAAUAGAAAAAAUAAAAUUUCUUAAUUUUUAUCUGAAUGAUAAAAUGUCUCAAUAAAAAAUCAAAUUUUCUCACAAGUACUCUCAUUAAAUGAAUUUAUUUUUUACCUAACUAUUAUGUAAAACCUAAAAAUCCUUUGGUUUUUUUAAUCGAAAUGAUUUUUUUUAAUUAAUAACAUAAUUUAGAUGUCAUAUUAGAAUUUCUCUUGACCUCUACUUUUACUUAGUAUUAAAAUUUCUCUUGACCUCAACUUUUACUUGGUAUUAAUUACUUACAUUCAACCUGUGCAAAUUCUUUUAUUAUUUGAUAACAAUUGUUUUUAAUGUAUAAAUUUUAUGUUAAAUUGUGAAAAAAUAAUGUUAUCAAAAUUAUUUUUCUUAAAAUUUAUAUCAAAUGUUUACCUUAUAAAUAUUUAUAACAUAUAAAUAGCAUUGUACUAGAUAACACGAUAAAUAUAUACCUAUUUAAAUUAACUUCCGAGUAUGUAUAACACUUUCAAGGUUAUAAGUAUAAAAAUACCAGAUUUAAGAUGUUGAAAACUUACCAUUUACACUUGGACAUCAAAAAAUAAAAAAACAAACAUAUUAUCCAGAUAUAUACCUUCAGACCCAUUCAAAUUUUAAAUAAAAAAAUAAAUGCUACCUAAAAUUACCUAAAUCACGAAUAUAUAGUCAAAAUAAUUAUUUUCGAUUUUUUAUUUUUUUAAAUAUAGAGUGGUGGGGCAUUUGAAUUUAUAAAAUAUAAAUGACAUGUUCAACAGCCACAAAUUUAAACAGAAUUUUUGCCUUCAAAUCAGACAAGGAUGAAGGGUGAAGAUUAGAUAAAACGAACAAUUAAUUAAUUUAAUUUCAUUAAUAAUUUUUUCUCUAAUUUAAUGUUUAUCUUUACUCUCUCUGUUCUUCCCAUUGAUAACUUGAUAUGUUCUUCUUCUUUAAUAAUAUUAUUUCUCUCUCCAAAAUUUUAACUUGAACGAUUAGUUAAAUAAACCUACUUAAAAAUUACAUUCGAACUUGCAGUAUUAUAUGCUUUUUUGUGAUAAUAAUUUGAUAAUUUUGACGACAAUUAGUUUGAAGUCAACUGUCAGACGAACUAAAGCCUCUCUCUUCACUGCGUUUAUCAAAUGUUUCGCAUGCGUGCAGUAUCCAUCACCAACGACCCAGAUAUUAGUGUUGUAUAAAAGAUUCUCUUACAACCAAAUAUUAUUCAGUUUAUAGGGUAAUAAAUAACUAAUAACGUCGUUUUGGUCAAACUAAGUCAAUAACUAACUCUCUUUAGCGUAAAGGCUGUUAAUUCCUAAUAUCAAAAAAACAUAAGGGAGGUAUGUGAAAUUUGUCACAUAUUUAUUGAGGAAGCAAAUAUCCGUGACAGCCACAACACAAAAGCACAGGAGACUCGAGCAAAAACGUCUUGGUCUUUUUAUAAAAAAAUAAAAAAUAAAGUCUUGGUCUCGGUCAUUUCACUUGUGGAUCCCUAUAAAGCCAAAACGAUUGUUUCUCUCUUCUGCAAGAGACUGAAAAAAUGGCUGUCGGUAAAGAUGACGUAGAGAUUAUAAAGCCACGUACGGACAAGAGACAGUACCGGAGACUCGUCCUUAAAAACUCUCUUCAAGUCCUUUUGAUCAGCGAUCCUGAUGCCGAUAAGGUAAUCAACAAGACCCAAAUUUUUAAAAUUUUAUUUUUCAGUUUAAUUUAGCUAGUAAUCGUGUGGGUUUACUUUGGUUUAUUUUAUUGUUUUACCUUCAGUGUGCUGCUUCAAUGAAUGUCAGCGUUGGCGCCUUUUGUGACCCUGUUGGUCUCGAGGGCCUUGCCCAUUUUCUCGGUAUGUUUAAUGUAUCCUGUGGCAAAUUUGAAUUCGUGAUUUGGGGAAUUUUAGUCUUGUAUGAAUGUAAAUUGUAAAAGUUACUUCAAAAAAAAAAAAGGGGAUGGGUUUGUGUGAGAUGACUCUAAACGUGUUUUCGGAUGAUCACAGAUUAAAAUACAAUGUGUUGCUCAUAUUGAAAUUAGAGUAGAAAGAGUUAAACAGAAUUAGAAGUUUCACUUGUACUUUCUUUUUGGUUCAAGUAUUUCUUCAUUGUAUGUUUAGGCUUGUUUAUUUCCUGUUAAAGUUAUAGCAUUGUUUCGUUCUCGGUUCUUUCAUCUCUUCCUACUUUGCCUACUUUCUUUUCCCUUUUCACUGUUUGUUAUUAUCAUUGAUAUUUUUUUUUUUAAAUUCUGUUGUGUGGUGAUUUAUUGGAUGAUUCUUUUACUCUCCUAUUCUACAUUAUUAUUGCUUUUAGCUGUAGUUAGAUAAUUAUAUGGCUGUAGGGGACAAUUUCUGUGGCCUGUUUAAUGAGUUCGAGUAUUUAUAACUUGCUUUAGUUACUGUUUUCCUGUUUCUUUAAUGUGCAGAGCAUAUGCUGUUUUAUGCUAGUGAGAAAUAUCCAGUGGAGGAUAGCUAUUUAAAGUACAUAUCAGAGGUAUUGGCCCUCAAUAAUGUCCUGUUUCACUUAUUUCUAGUAUGUUUUCUUAAGUAAAAGUUUCAGAGAAUCAUGCUUUAUGCUUAAUCUUGCUCUUUGAUACUAAUAAUAGACUUUAACUAGAAGUGGAUGGAGUUGGCGAGAUACACAGACAAGGAAAAAAAUUUUGAAUGCUAUUCCCUUGGAAUAUAACUGACUAAAAAGACACAUUUUCCCUCCAGAGGAAAAUCUUAACUUUUUUGUUAAUCAGGUGUUUGCUAAAAACAAAAUCCUGAAGCAAAUUCUUCACUUGAUUUGUAGGGCUGAUGGGAGUUUUAGUUUUAAUUACAUUCCUCUAUUUUCCUGCAAGCCAUUGCGGUCAGAUUGUAUCUUAGUGAUUGGAAGUGGAAAAGGUAUUCUUGUUUAAAUUUACAGCCAUGGAUUGUUCUAUUGUGGAAUGGGGUGAUGACUCCAUUUAUGUUCUUUUCUCUGUGGAGCUGACCCAUAACCGGAUUGGAUUUAGAUGUAGUCAGUUUAUUCAACAAGGGUUUAGAAAGUUCGCUGGCACGGUGGUCUAUCAAUUUCUUGUGAUAUGAUUUGAUAAUGUUUGGUAAUGUAGUCGAAAAAAAUACUUUAAUUGUCAAUAUGUAUUCUUACCGUUCUAAGUGAUGCUGUGGACUUUCCAUGCAUUGACUGAUGUAUGCUGGAGUGAAAAAUUAUGAAUUACAUUGUGAACAUGAUCCUCUCAAGCUGUCUUUUGAUACUUGAGACAACUUGUGCCAGAAAUUUCCUUUUUACUUUAGAUUUUAUGUCUUUAGGUUACUGAUCUUGCAUAGUGUCAGGGUGAUGAUUUAGAUAAUAUUGCAAUAGUGAAUAAUGACCACAGCCUUACUACGGGUUGUUGAAAGCACAUCCUAAGACUAGUUGUGAUUCCACAUCCUAUCUUUGCUUAUGUUUUCUAGUAGAGUCAUUGGGUGGUGGUUUGGUAUUGUUUAUGGUUAACAUUGAUCUUAAAUACAGUUUGAGAAAUGUGAAGAGGAAUCCGGAGUCUGAAAUUUGUUUUUAUUUUUAAUUUUGAUAUAUAAUAUAUUGGGGAAGCAACUCUAGAGACCUUGUAGGAAAGAUGGUUUGUGGGUGAUUAUUAUGGCACUGCAAUCUUCUUUACGGGAUAAAGGAAUACCUCCUACCUAGGUCCUUGGUACAGGUGUCCUGUUUUGAUUGGCGCAUUCAUCCUAAGACUAGUUGUGAUUCCACAUCCUAUCUUUGCUUAUGUUUUCUAGUAGAGUCAUUGGGUGGUGGUUUGGUAUUGUUUAUGGUUAACAUUGAUCUUAAAUACAGUUUGAGAAAUGUGAAGAGGAAUCCGGAGUCUGAAAUUUGUUUUUAUUUUUAAUUUUGAUAUAUAAUAUAUUGGGGAAGCAACUCUAGAGACCUUGUAGGAAAGAUGGUUUGUGGGUGAUUAUUAUGGCACUGCAAUCUUCUUUACGGGAUAAAGGAAUACCUCCUACCUAGGUCCUUGGUACAGGUGUCCUGUUUUGAUUGGCGCAUUCAUCCUAAGACUAGUUGUGAUUCCACAUCCUAUCUUUGCUUAUGUUUUCUAGUAGAGUCAUUGGGUGGUGGUUUGGUAUUGUUUAUGGUUAACAUUGAUCUUAAAUACAGUUUGAGAAAUGUGAAGAGGAAUCCGGAGUCUGAAAUUUGUUUUUAUUUUUAAUUUUGAUAUAUAAUAUAUUGGGGAAGCAACUCUAGUGACCUUGUAGGAAAGAUGGUUUGUGGGAGAUUAUUAUGGCCUGUAAUCUUCUUUACGGGAUAAAGGAAUACCUCCUACCUAGGUCCUUGGUACAGGUGUCCUGUUUUGAUUGGCGCAUUCAUAUUUUGGUAGCAGAAGUACUGAAGUAUGUCUUUCAUGUAGUUUUGCUUCCCUGUCUUGAGCUUUAUUUGCAUUAUUUAUAGAAAUCUGGUUCGCUCCAGAGAUUGAUCAUUUCCUUUUUAAUUUGGCCCCCUGCGUAUGGGUGGUAUCACUGGUAUGUUCCUUGAUGUGUCUGUUUGGAGAGUGCACUUUUUGUUCUCUUUUAAGGGCACAGCAUGGAGGAAUGGCAAAUGCGUUUACAUCUUCUGAGCAUACAAACUACUACUUUGAUGUAAACCCUGACUCCUUUGAAGAAGCUUUGGACAGGUACAUGCCAUUUUUCAUUUUUCUUAAGUAUCAAAUCUUUCAGUACUUGAGUUUUUGAGUCUGAGUCUUUCCUGUGAUUUACUGCACAGAUUUGCACAGUUCUUUAUUAAACCGUUGAUGUCAGCUGAUGCUACCAUGAGGGAGAUUAAAGCAGUUGAUUCUGGUUAGUUGUUCAUUGUAGAGUCUAGCGCAUUAAUGUACUUUCAGAAUCAUGUUUCAUUAUCAUUAAUUCAGUUCCGCUUUCCUUCCUCCUCCCUCGCUUGUAUCCAGAGAACCAGAAAAACUUGUUGUCUGAUGUUUGGAGAUUAAACCAGGUAUUGCUUACUUCCAUUAAUUUAAUAUUUGGAGAUGAUUUUUCCUUGGGUUUCUAUUUUCUAAGUUAUAUCAUUAUAUCAUUUGUUAUCAUUCACAAGAGAUCUUGGACUCCAUUGCUGAGCCUGAGUAUCAGUUUUGAAGUGAAAGUUCUCCUUCAUAAAGCUUUAUUUUAUUGCUGCAACUUGUGUAUCUUUUUUUUUUUCCCUUUUUUCUGGUUGCUAUCCUAUGUUCUUUGGUAUAAGAAGUGCUCCAUUGAACUGAAAAAAAACCUGAACAUGCACAGACAUCUGACCUUUGGCCAUUAUUUGAAUAGAUUGAGAUAUAAUUUGCUAAAAUUGAUAUUCCUUGGUUGAACUCGUAACACAAUAAAAUUUGGUAAGAAGAAAUAAAUUAUUAUAAGCUGGUGUUUUAUGGCACAAGGGUAUUGGGGAUUGUAUAGGUCUUCUUCUCUUAUAAUGCCUUUUGAUUGGUGAUCUAUGGAAUAUGGUCUGUCAUUCUUCAUAGCUUAGUGUUCUAGGUUCAAGAAAAUUUUAGCAGUGUUGAUUAGUUGAAAAAUGGAUGAAUGGUAAUGGACUUAGCUUGGUUUGGGGUCUUUCUGUUGUACUCAUCUUCCAAAAAAUCAUUUUCACUCGUCCUUUUUUGGAAUUUUUAGAGAUCUUAAACACUAUGCUUUUGUUUGGUUAUGUUUCCGGUGUUUCUUAUAUAUUUCCCAUGUACCACAGUUGCUCCACAUUUUUGGUACUGCUUUUGUUAUAAAUUUUUUACGUAUAAAUAGAAAAAAAUAGGGCUUUACUUGAUAAUGGAAAUUGGCAUGUGAAGUGCUUAUUGCUUGUAUCUGUUAAAAGAGUGCAGGUCCUCUUUUUUGUUAGGUGCCGAUAUUAUGGUACAAAGGGUGGCUUAAGAGUUGAAAUUAUGUGUAGAAUUUUGAAUUUUGAAAGGAUAUUGAUCAGAGUAGCAUUUGAGACCAAAAUAUCAGGUUAAGACAGUGUUCCAUGCUGCUUUACUUGGUUGUGAACAGUAAUCCAAGAAAGAGGAAUAAAUAGAUAUAUUCAUCACAUGUAAUGUAUAGUGCCUCAGCGUCAAUUUUUUCCCAUACGCUUAUAUCACAUGAUUCUAAGGAGUGCAACUGAUCUUCAUUUAAAAGCUUUUGGCUGGAAUGUAUGAGACUUGCCAGUUUUGCUGAAUUCGCUAAAGGGUUGAAAUUCUAAAUAGGAAACUGCAAAUACUAAAGAUGUGGCCCCAAAAAGAAAAAAACCACAGAGGACCUCAUGCAAAAUACAAUCAGGACAGUUAUAAUAGAGAAGGACUCAUGUUCUGUUGUGAAGCCUAUUCAAUCAAACCUAGAUAUUAACUCCUAAAAUAUGAACAAGCUAAAAUAAUGCCCAGUGAUUGGAUUUCUGUUGUUAAGCGUAACAUUGAAAUAAGGCUAAAUGGAAAUUAUUGCCAAGUAUCAAAUUUAUAUAUAGGUCCCACAUUAAUUUAGAUCAAAUUUUGUAGAAUUCGUAUAUUUUCGAAGGCCUGUUUUACAACCUUUGAAACUUAAUUGGAGAAGAAAAGAUUUCAUCUAGAUCUUUGCAUUGGUACCAAUAGAUUUUACUAAGCUAGGAUCUUGUUUUUGUUGUUGUUCUUCUUCUUUUUCCCCCUUUUUAAUGAGAAAUAAGAAAGUAAUUUAUCUUAAUUGAUGUUGUCAUCAUUAUUGCUUUUAACAAUUAGCAUCAUCAUCAAUCGACCUAAAAGCUUAUGCUAAUAGAUUAGUCAACUAUAGCAUUAACAGGCCAUCUGGAUUUUAUCAACUGUAGUAUUAACAGACCCUCUGAAUUUUAUUAACAGCCUUGUCAUGUGGAUUAAGCUCAAAUAGAAACUAACUCAGAUGCAGAUGAUACUGCAAAUGCAAAUACAAAUCUGAAUGCAAUUAUAUGGGAGGUUUCAAAUAUAAGACCUCUUGGUCAAAUUAAUGUUGAUAUCAUAUUAAUUUUUUGUUUGGCUUAAAAGCAUAAAUUAUAAAGCUGGUCCUCACGAUUGUAUUUGAGCUCCAGCAAGUUAAUAAUGAAUAAGGUGUUAUAUCUUUUUACCAUAGUAGUCGUUUUAGUAGUGUUUCUGUGAGAAAUGACUACCUUUAUGUUUUUUUUUUUUUUUUAAUUUGUACAGCUCUGGAAACAUCUAAGUUCAGAAGAUCAUCCAUAUCAUAAGUUUAGCACCGGUCAGCAACUUACUUGACUCUCUCUCCGUUCUUUAUUACAAAGUGUUACAUUCUGUUAUACUUUUCCAUUUAUCAUUUUCUUCGUUUUAGUAAUUUUUCAGAGUCUUAUGAAAAAAUGAUUUAAGUAUUUCCAAGUUGUUCUGUCGAUGUCUACAAUUCAUUGUGUUCACAAUUUCUUUUUCCUUUCACCUUUUCGCUCUAGUUUCUGCAUAUUGUGUUUCAACGAGAUAGACGUUUAUAUCAAAUACUUGUUGAUGUUUAGGUAACUGGGAAACUUUGGAAGUUCGACCAAGAGCGAAAGGAUUGGACACAAGGCAUGAGCUCAUUAAGUUUUAUAAUGAACAUUACUCUUCCAACCUCAUGCAUCUGGUUGUGUAUUCAAAAGGUUAGGAACUAAUUCUUCCUGCUGUAUUUUGGCCUUGACUGAAGUACUCUGAGAUAUAAUGACCAACCCUAUGUGAUGGAUGUUUCUAGAAAGUGUUGAUAAAAUUCAAGGUCUAGUGGAGAAUAAGUUUCGGGACAUUAGGAACACUGAUCGAAAUCGUUUCCGUUUUCCUGGUCAGCCUUGCACAUCAGAACAUUUACAGGUAUGGUCAAGUUCUAUGUGGUGACAAAGGGUCUCAAGGGACACUGCAGAAAGUAGGAAAGAACUUUUUCUUUGUUUCAAAUUUUCCUAGUUUAUAUUUUUUGCUUCAGAUUCUUGUCAGAGCUGUUCCAAUUAGACAAGGUCACAAACUAAGAAUUGGAUGGCCAAUAACUCCAAGCAUUCAUCACUACAAGGAAGCACCAGGCAGAUAUAUCAGUCAUCUUAUUGGGCAUGAAUCAGAGGGAUCAUUGUUUUUCAUCUUGAAAACAUUGGGUAGGUUCUGCUUAUCCUUUAUAUUUCUGAUUCUCAAUUUACUUGCAGCUUUCGGUUGCAUCCUGAAACUUUUUUUUUAUUUGAAAACUUAACCAAGUUUCAGUGUCCAUAAUUUGUGUUCCUACAUGUUUAGGCUUGAGAUGCUUCUUCUUUACUAGUUCAGAAUGAAUUGUUUUUGUGAAUUUGAAUAGUAAAAUACAUAAAACAAUGAUAUUUUCAAUUUUUUUAAGAUCUUAAGAGACAAAUGGUUCUGUUUAGAUUUUCACUACAGUGUAUUUCUCAUUGUCCCCCCCCCCCAACAAGUAUUCAAUGCCUACUCUGUCAUAUUUCCAUUGUGUGGAUGUUAGAAACAAUUUACAAAGCUACUGCAUGUUAUGCUUUCUUGAGGGACUGAUUUUCCUCUAGAAUUUUAAGAAUCACUGCUUGAUGCAAACAGCUUAUUGGGGAUGAAGCACUCUCUGAUCCUCAUUUCAUGGCUGGAUUGUUGAUGACUUAGGUUAACGUCUACUGAAAUCUGUACAAUUUGUCUUGAUAUAAGUCUUGAUAUAAGCACAAGUUUCAGGGUGGGAAGAAGUCUUGAUAUAAGCACAUGUAUGUUCUGGUUGAUAAUGUCUGUGUUUGUUUUGUGUAUAAAGAUCAAAGUGGAAUUUGAUGACACUAGCUCAGGGUCUUUGGUUAUCCACACCAAAAUUUUUCACCUUUGAAAGGCCAACUGACCAGUCACCUCUUUUUGAAAUAAAUUUUUGCAGGAUGGGCUACAUCAUUGGCUGCAGAUGAAGGAGAUUGGACUUUGGACUAUUCAUUCUUUGAAGUUACAGUUGAUCUUACUGAUUCUGGUCAUGGUAAUGCAGUUGUAUUUCGCACUGCAUUUAAUUGAAUGUGAUUCAUUAUAAUCAAUUGAUUUACUUUGUUCUGCUAGAAUAUGCAAAUAACUUCAAUUUGUAGAUCUUUUGGGUUAAAAAAUUUUCCCCCCUUGAUUGACUAGCAGAGCACAUGCAAGAUGUUGUGGGGUUGUUAUUUAAAUACAUAAACCUUUUACAGCAGUCUGGUGCUAGCAAAUGGAUAUUUGAUGAGGUAUGAUGACGCAUCUUGUUAAUUGCUACUGUUGCAUAGUAUUAUUGUUAGUUACGUGUUGCUUGCAUUCGUGCAGUCUUGCCUCUUUGUAGGAUGCUUCUGUUGAAGAGCAUAGUGGUAGGAUGAUUGAUUUGCAUUAAAUUUUCUACCAGAGAAUGUUGGGGUUUGGCUGUUAGCUCAGUAUCUACUUUGCUUCUUAUUUCUACUACUACUAUUAUUUUGUUGUCAGAAACAAGAGGUUAUUUGACUCUGCUAAUGGCAUUACUUUUUAGUUGCAAGAUACUAUUAUUGUUCGAUAGUUUGUUCUUACGAUGCUGUUGGAAAAGUUGGUCUUUUGGAUAAUGACUCCUCAUUGUAAUUGGCCAUGUCAAUGAUGUAUAUGUAGAAAUGUGAAAAGGUGCAACUAUGAUAGUUGCUAUUCAAACGUUACUUGCAUGCUAUUGUUAAGUUUCAGGAUUAUAGUUGAAACAGGAAGAAUAUGUUCUUGUAGAUGAUGUAUCUUAACGGAUGCUUUUAAGAUAUAGUUCUGCUGACCACCAGAGAUUUGAGUAUAGCCAUCCACAGUAUAUCCACUGAAGGUUUGAGAAUAGUUUUUACUCGGUGUAAAGGAAAAAACAUUGCAUCAAAUUUAUUGCCCUCUAGUUUUUCUUCCUUUUAUACUUUCAUGCAAUCUGAAAGGAAGGAAAGUUCAUGACAGCAGUCCAACACAUCAAUGAGUCUGGCUUUGUAUUAUUAUCAUGCAUUUUACGUCUUUCAUAAUAUUUUAAAAGUUUUGUCAUGCUGUAGUCUUGCUUGAAGGAUAAUCGACUCUCUCCUUGUCAGUACCUCAAUUGUUUACUAUUUAUUGAAUUUGCAUCUGGAAGGUUUCCUGUCUUGUUUUCAGCCUAUCUAGUCUUCAACAUUCUGACAUUUUAUUUAUCUUAUGAAGCUUUCAACUGUUUGUGAGGUGACAUUUCAUUAUCAGGAUAAAGUCCCCCCGAUUGACUAUGUGGUUACUGUUGCUGCCAAUAUGGAGGUAUAUGUUCUUUUCCAUUUUGUAAAGUUAAUCCUCCUGGGUUGAACGAAAUAUCCAGUUUUAUUACAUUGUUUAAAAUAAUUGGAAUAGUGUAGGAGUAUAGCUAGAGGAACUGAUUGUGAGGCAUAGCUUCUAACACCACUUGAAACACUAGAAAAUACCUUUAUCCGAUGAUUGAUUGAACGAAAAAUAUGGUUAUCUUGCCUGCCUCAUUGUCUCAUUCCCUUGCACAUAAAGGUGUUUUUGUUUAAUGUUAGAUAUAGAAUAAGUGGAUAUGGUGAGUAGAUUAAUAAUCUUGUUCUACCGUUGUUUUUGAAUCCUGGACCUCUAUUUUUAGAUUCCCAACAGCUUUUUGCAAGAACUAAUCUUUGUGCUAUUCUUAUAGACAGUUUACAAAUUUGGCUUUCUUUUCUUUUUUCUACAUUUUAAGGAUUAUUUGGGCUUGUGAAUCAUGAACUGGUAGCUGAUUGACAUCUUUCUUUUGCAGUUUAUUUUUUGAUUGUGAAUUGAGUCAAACUGUUUUUUCUGUUAGUAAAUGAUGCCUUGAAAUUAUUUUUCAGACAUAUCCUCCUCAAGACUGGCUAGUGGGUGAAUCAUUGCCUUCCAAUUUCAAUCCAGAGAUUAUUCAAAUGACUUUGAAGGAGCUUUCUCCAAAAACUGUUAGGUAAGUUUGUAAGCGCUUAGAGAGUGUUUGACUCAGUGCAUAUGAAGAAUGACGCACAUAUUUCCAUUAUUUGAACUUUGUAUAUAACGUCUGUUCUGAUUUGAUUGUUAAAAAAUUUAACUUUAGUUCACUAUUUUGUUGGACAUGGUACCUGAUUCUGGUACAAGUUAUCUAAACUUCAUUUAAGCAUUUGACUUAUCGUUGAACUUCUAUGGCUGGAUGAUGUUUGAUUUUUAUCAUUCCCAUUCUUCUUGCUAUCAGAUAAGUUCUUUUUCUUGUAAAAUAAUUUUGUCUGGCUUUAAGGUAUUUCAUGUGCAUGCGAAGCCUUAUCUGCUGUAAUAUAACUAAGUGUUUGCUUCCCAUUGCUUUAUGUUUAAAAGAAAAGGGAAACAUUUCGAUAUCAUUGUAUUGCCAAUGACUUGGUUUAGCAGUUUCGGAUUUGAUACUUUGUUUUCAAGAGUAAUUACUUGCAUCUUUCUGCUUGUUGGUAGUAAUGCUCAAGGACAUGUUUGUGUCUGAUAAUUCAUGUACAAUUGGCUGUCUCCAUCUUUCAAUCAAAGUCAGACUAUUGUGAUUGACAGAUUGUCUGCUUUCUAACAAGCUCUCUGUUUAUCAGAAUUUUUUGGGAGUCAAAGCAAUUUGAGGGGAAAACAGAGAUGGUUGAGCCUUGGUAUGGUACUGCUUAUUCCGUUGAGAACAUCAAUGAGUCCAUAAUUCAGGUUCGUUGUUUGAUUUUAAAUAUGAUAUGAUUCAUUAUUCUAGUAAUAAUAACAGUUGUCAAUGUCCUUGGAGGCAAAUGGCUAUUAGAAUGAGAUGGAGGGUGAGGUUGCAGGGUUUCUCUUUUGGUUCAUGGAUAUGAUUUCCAAGAGGGAAAAGUUCAUAUUAGAUUGGAGUGUAUGCUAUUUAUCUUGUCCCACAUUCAGUGGAAGCAGCUAAAUAAAUUUUGGUGAUUAGAGCAGCUUGAAGGAAGGAAUUGAUGAGUCUUCAAAAUCUUUAUUUGUUUCCAGGACUGGAUACUGUCUGCUCCUAAGGAAAAUCUGCAUCUCCCAGCUCCUAAUGUCUUCGUCCCCACUGACUUGUCUCUUAAGGAUACACAAGAGGUCUGAGGAUUUUUUUUUCCCCAUCUUUACAGUAAAAUUUAUUGUGAUGUGUUCUCUUUAAAGCAAUUGUUCUUUGUAACAGGCCAAAUUCCCAGUUCUGUUGAGAAAGUCAUCCUAUUCAACAUUGUGGUACAAGCCUGACACAAUGUUCUCUACACCCAAGGCAUUUGUUAAUAUUUAUUUCAACUGCCCCCAUGCUAGCAGCUCUCCUGAAUCUGAAGUUCUGACUGAUAUUUUCACACAGUUGUUACAUGACUAUUUGAAUGAAUAUGGUAAGAUGCUGGAUAAAUGUUGUAGGAUGUUGAUGUAGGAUUGGACAAAUGACUAUUCCUUUUCUUUUAACUAUUGUUUUCAUUCAUUUUAUUUGGAAACAGACAAACUUUUAUAGAAUAAAUAAAGGGGGAAAGAUUUCCAAAGUAAACUAGAGUUCCACAUACUAAAAUUUCAUUGAAGGAACAGAUUAUUUCCAAAGGGCUUCCCAUACCUGAUCCCUUUAUUUAGGUUUAGUUGAGUUGAGAGAGGUCAUGUGUUGAUUUUGUUUGAUUGGGCUUUUUUCACAUUUUAGUAAAUUUUGGGAUUUGCAUGCUGUUUGAGGUAUAGAUAUGCGUCUGUUCUAUAUGGUUAGUAGGUAGCUUUUUUUGGGCUGUCUUUGUUUCCCCUGUGAACCUCUGGUUCACUUCCAUAUCAUCUUCUCUUUCAUUUUGAUAAAAUUCUUAUGUUUCUGGUAUAGAGCAUAACUUCCACAAUUUACAUAAUUUCUGUAUUUGUGAAUAAAAUUAAAUUUUUUCCUUACCCAUCAUAUCUUUAUGUAUCAGCUUACUAUGCUCAGGUUGCUGGGCUUUAUUAUGGGAUAAACCACACUGAGGGUGGUUUUGAGGUAUUUUUUUUCACUUGUCUUUGAUAUUUAUCUCAUGUUGGUAUGUAUUUUUAUGUGUUGAUUUUAUGGUUUUUGCUUCUACAGGUUACAGUGGUUGGAUAUAAUCACAAAUUGAGGAUCUUGCUGGAAACUAUUUUUCAAAAAAUUGCACAAUUCAAAGUCCAACCUGACAGGUUUUCUGUGAUUAAGGUAAUGAUUUAGGCUUAAAAUAUUUGACCUGUUUGACGUUGAACGUUAUUUUCUUUUAUAAUCUUAAACAUCUAACUGAAUCAAAGUACUAGUAUUAUUUGUUUAUAAUUGGGAGCUUACAAUAAUUUUCUUUGGUUGUGCUGUUCCAAAGCCUGCAUAGCUUUGGUUGUUUUGAGCUCCAAAUCAGUAACAUGGCUUUUCAGCAUGAAGGCUUUAGGGGUGUGCAUUUGGGUGUGGGCAUGCAUUGUAUCUUUUUCUUUCAUCUUUUACACCUGGAUUCCAUUCAUGUGGAUGCACAUGCAUAAGCAACCACAAGCCCCCAGAAGUGGAUCUUCACUGUGGUAGGGGCAUACUAAAAUAUUAAGGGUAAAAAAUAUAUUUUUGUUUAUAUAUCCUACUCUGUUUAGAAAGAUGUAUAAAUUGAUUAUUAAAGUGUAUAAGCUGUUUCUAAAAAUGUUUUAGCACCGUUUUUUAGUUCUUCCGGAACUUGCAUUUGAUGGUUCUGUGAGCGACUCCUCAACUGGUUGAACUUUUGACUUAACAAUCCCCAUUUGCACUGUAUGGAACCAUUAUCAUGUUGCUUCCCUUGGUGAGUCUGUUAUGAACCCAAGCUGUUCAUGUAUGAAUAAAGUUUUUCAUUCCCUUUAUUUAUUUGCAGGAAAUGGUGACAAAAGAAUACCAUAAUAAUAAGUUUCUACAGCCAUAUCAACUGGCUAUGUACUACUGCUCUCUAAUACUUCAGGAUCAAACGUGGCCUUGGACGGAAGAACUUGAAGUUCUUCCUCAUCUUGAAGCUGAAGAUCUUGCUAAAUUUGUACCCAUGAUGCUCUCUAGGACCUUCUUGGAAUGUUACAUAGCAGGUCCUUCUGUUUCAAUUUUUUAAUGGCAUUGUUUGAGAUUUCGGUCGCUCCUUUUUGUUUCCAUUUAUGAUCUCAUUACUUUCAUUUGUUCUCAGGAAACAUUGAAUCUAAUGAAGCAGGAUCGAUUAUCCAGUACAUUGAAGAUGUUUUCUUUAAGGGCUCAAACCCAAUAUGCCAACCAUUGUUCCCAUCCCAGCAUUUGACUAAUAGAGUUGUUAAACUUGAAAAGGGCAAGAAUUAUGUGUACUCCAACCAAGGCCUGAAUCCUAGUGAUGAAAAUUCUUGCCUAGUCCAUUAUAUUCAGGUACAAGAAUUUUUUUUAGAAAAAAAAAAAGGAAAAUAAUGAUUUAAUUAAGUGCUUUGGCUGCUGAUAUACGUGUUCUAUGCUGCGUCUAUACUCCUUGUAAAAUUAAGCAGCUGGUAUUCUGCAUGCAUUUCUUAUCCCUUCUAAUACUUGAAAAGCUUUGAAAGUAUCUUUUUGGGAAGAGGAUAAAAUCUUGAGCAGUAUUCUAAUUGUUAUUGGGACACAUGUUUAUCACUAGUGUAUUCUUUCUUCCCAUUGUUGUAUCGUAGUUGGAGGCAUUGAUUUCAAAUUUUCGAUAUUUUCAUGAAAAGGGAAUGAAAUACUGAUAUUUGUUACAACGAAUAUUUUCUGCCAAGUUGUUACCCUUUGUUUUUGUUGGGUGGUGGGGCGGCGCUGAAAAGCAGAAAAAAAGAGAUUAGUAAGUAGUUGAGCCUUUUUCCUUCUUUUCACGGUAAAUUGACCCCCGCACAUGAUGUAGGGCGGUUUUUGCUUUAAAAUGGCUUUGUUUGGGCCGUCAUUUCUUGAUGAACAAUGGUUUGCCUCUUUACUGUCCGUAUGAUUAGGUUAUUCAGCUAAGACCCUAAACUACUAAACAAACUGUGAUUAAGGAAUAAUUAUGGUAAUGUUUUCGCCAUUACUUUUAAGACAAACGUACAGUGUGUAUUAUUUAUGUGUUGAUGUCUGCCAUUACUUUCAGACAGCACAAACUGUGAUGAGAUCUAUUUAUAUGUUGCUUUUGCCAUAACUUUAAGUGAAUUACAUGUCAUCCAACGGUUCUUUAUGCAUGUUGAUGAGGCUCUGAACUUAAGCUCUGAAGAAAUAGUUUUUUGUCCAAUUUCUUGAAAAUAUAUAUCUUGUGCUAAGCGACAUUGGUUUUCCUCGAGCAUUCCUUGAUUCAUGGAGUUAAUAUUGUUUUGUUGCAUUAGAAUUAUAUGGUUUUGGGACAGACUGGUAUGGAUUCUGAAAUGUAGGUUAUUGGUACCCAUGCAACAGGGAUAAUAGAUGUACGAGUCAAACAAAAUCUUUUACAUGUUUCUUGAUCUCUAUUUGACCGGACCAAUUGUUUCUGUGGGGGGUCUGAUGCGAUUCUGAUGUCAUGUCAUGUCAUGUCAUGUUGAGUUGUUCAGGUUCAUCGAGAUGAUUUCCUCAUGAAUGUGGCACUGCAGCUUCUUAAUCUUAUUGCAAAACAACCAGCUUUCCACCAGCUUAGAACCGUUGAGCAACUUGGGUACAUUACAGCACUCCGGCGGAGGUACAUAACUUGAGGUCCCUAGUUCUCCUUCAGCUUGGAAUAUUUGCUUUAAACUUAGCUAUCUACUUGAUGUAGGAAUGAUUUUGGUAUCCAUGGAGUGCAGUUCAUCAUUCAAUCCUCAGUAAAGGUUAUAGCAUAGUUUUGUUCUUUGAAUAUGCACAUUGACAGCAUUAUUGUCGCUUUGGCUCAAGUGCUCUGUCAAUUUAACAGGGUCCGAAGUAUAUUGAUCUGAGAGUUGAAUCAUUUCUCCAGAUGUUUGAAAGUAAACUUUAUGAGAUGACCAGUGACCAAUUCAAGGUGAGACACAUUUCUAUUCUACAUGAGUUAUUCUGAUCUGUGUUUUCACUGAUGAGAUUGUUUUUAUAAGCACUACAGAAGGUUGGAAGUUAUUAUAUCAGUAAUGCUCAAGUUUGAUGCUCAAAUCUUUUACCAACAGAAUUAUCAAAAGAAUCAUUUGGAUAACAUGUUUUGAAUAGAGAAAGUACUUCCCUAAUCUUAAUUCUAGACUAUUAACUUAUAUACAUAUGCCAAGGCUUUGACAGUUGCUAUUAUUAUGAGAUAAAUAUGAUAUUAUUCCAUCUUUUUAUCAUCAUUUUGUCAUAUCCUAUUCUUGAAAUGCAAUGGAACUACAUUAAGUACAAAGAGAUUGGUGAUAUUAAAAGAGAGAAUAUUCCUUAUCAAUUUUUCUGUAAUUGCAUAUAUUGUCCCAGUCUCAGCCACUUUUUUCUUUUUUGUGAAAUUAUUAUAUUCUUGAUAAUCCCAGAUAGAUAUUCUGUUUAUAUGAGUGUUUUUGGAUAAAAUCUGCCCGGCUGCUUAACAGUGAAAAUGGCAUUUUUUUGUAGAACAACGUAAAUGCAUUGAUUGACAUGAAGCUUGAGAAACACAAGAAUUUAAAGGAAGAAUCUGGAUUUUACUGGCGUGAGAUUUCUGAUGGGACCCUCAAGUUUGAUCGGAGGGAGGCUGAGGUAUGGGAAUUACUAUCAAUUUAUUUAUUUAUUUUUCACCAAGUCAGGUUAAGACUUUUGUAUGUUUGAAGAUUUAUUUUCAAUUUUUUUUUUUUUUGGAGAAAAAGGUAAACCAAGAGACAUGAAGAACGCAGCCUCUGCUCUCUGUAAACCUUCUUAGGGGCCUGAGCAAAUUAAAAUUAUCCUUUUCACUUGUAGUUGAGUAUUCAUGUCCUGAAGUUGUUGGUUUACACAGUAUUAGUGUUGAAACAGGUUGCAGCACUGAGGCAGCUGACACAACAAGAAUUGAUUGACUUUUUCAACGAGAAUAUUAAAGCUGGUGCACCCCGGAAGAAGACACUGAGUGUUCGAGUGUAUGGGAGGCUGCAUGCACCCGAGUGGAAGGAAGAAACUAGUGAAUCAGCUGAGCCUCACAUUGUUCACAUAGAUGAUAUUUUCAGUUUCAGAAGAUCACAACCUCUCUAUGGUUCAUUCAAGGGUGGUUUUGUUCAAAUGAAGUUGUGAGGUGUCGAAUCUUUACAUCUGAGUCUGUUCAUAAAGAAGACUCUGCAACCACAGGAAGAGAACAGCGGAUUUCAAACAAGCUUCCACAUCAACUAUGAAAAAGAUGGGUGCCCGUAAAUCCAUUGAUCA
This 80807-nucleotide long non-coding RNA is filed under the name Citrus sinensis (sweet orange). RNAcentral's name for it is "long non-coding RNA (CSIN_LNC003908)". The record is from RNAcentral. Lineage: Eukaryota; Viridiplantae; Streptophyta; Magnoliopsida; Sapindales; Rutaceae.